This 60295-nucleotide long non-coding RNA is filed under the name Capsicum annuum. RNAcentral describes it as "long non-coding RNA (CANN_LNC021037)". The record is from RNAcentral. Lineage: Eukaryota; Viridiplantae; Streptophyta; Magnoliopsida; Solanales; Solanaceae.
AAAAAGCCAACCCAAAACAAUCCAAUUUAAGUAGUCUUCUUCUAUACCCAAGUUUCCUUUCAAUAUCUUCCUUUACCUUCAUAGCUUCCUCUUAUUAGUAGAAUCUUUUGAUCUUAUUUAAUGAUCUUUGGGUAGGAGAACGUCUUUCCAAUUACACCUUUUUUCUACAAUUCUCUACAGGGUUGCCAUUACUAGAUCGACUUUGUUGGGAAAGGCUGGGAUACUUCUUGGAUUAGUUGACAUUGCUGAAUCCAAAGAUGAUUAUUUAUUUCGUGUUUCACUCCCCUUGUGACACCAGGGAGUGAAACACGAAAUAAAUACUCAUCCUUGGAUUCAGCAAUGUCAACUGAUCCAUAAGUGGCCUGGCAUUUCCCAACGAAGCCGAUCCAAUAAGGACAACCCCGCCAUUAGCAUGAUUUAUAAGAUGGUUCUGGCUGGGCAAGCAGAGAAAUGGUGCAUUGCAGGCUAAUAGUUUUCUUGUGAAAGGUGGAAGGAAACAAAGAGGGUUGGGAAAAUGGCAUAUAUUUCAUGAGAUAAAUUGCCUCAGUUUGAUGAAUAUUUUAAGAGAUCUGGGAGCAGAGGGAAGGUGGGAAAAAGUUCUAUUUUUGUUUUGUAUAUGAGUAGAUUCAUAGUUGCACAAGAUUUGAAUAAAUUAAUUUUCUAUGUAAAUUUGAAGUAAUAUAUUUCGUUUAAAUAUAUUUUCAUAUUUAGAAAUUACAUAAAAGUUUUAUAAAUUGUUAUAAUUAAUAAUUCAAAAGUAUUCUAAAACAAUAAUGUGAAAAGACAUCAUCACUUGAUUCUCCAAAUAAUAUCUUGAUCAUAUAAAGUUAAAGAAAGGGAUAAUAGUUAUUAUACACUUGUAAUAGCUUUCGAAGUUUUAGUGUUAUUUGAUAGUUAUAGAAAUUAGUUUUACAAUGGCUAAUAAUGAUAAUUGUCGUAUCAUUAUCAUAGACCAGGCAGAAACUUUAUAAAUAUAAUACUAAAAACUUGAUGGGCUUAAACGAAAUGUUGCUCACCUUUUUAAAAUAGAUAUCAGACUAGACAAAAUAGCCAUCAAACAUUUUCCUAAAAUUUAGAAAUUGAAAAUACAUUAAUAUUUUGUUAUUAAUCCCACACCUUAUUUGAAUUGAAUAUACCUAAAAUUUAUUCCUUAGAAAAUACUAAAUGUUUUCCCAAUUUCGUUUGUAACAGUUUGAAUUGGUGGGAUCGUGUCAAACUUUAAUUAGUGUUCUAAAUAAACACACAACAUUACUUUACAUUUAACAUUUUAUCUCAUAAAGUUUUCUCAAGCUACGUCCAGUCGUAAAGCUGAUUGUCAUAGUUCCGUACAAUUAAUUGUCAAUGCAGAUGCCGUGUAAUAGAAAUGUGAGAUUACUGUAAUAAUGAUGAAGAUAUACUAAGUGUAAAUUCAUAAAUAGGGUCUAGAUUAAGUGAUCUUACCUCUAUCUUCUGAGAGGUAGAGAGACAGUUUCAAAAAGAUCCCGGGGAUAAUCGAGUGGAAAACAAAGAGACUAUUACAACAACAAACUUUGCUCCUAUGUCCCAAAAAAUAGAGAGGUUGUUUUUGAAAGACCCUCGAGUUCUGGUUGAAUGGAAAACAGAGAUUACAAGAACAACAAAAAACAACAACAACACGUCCAGUAUAAUUUCUUGGGUGGGAUUUGAAGAGACAAAAUGUAGAUAGAAUUUACUUCUAUUGCUCAAACAAUAGAGAGGUUAUUUUUCGAAGAUUCCUCGCGUACGUCGGUGUGUGGGGGGGGGGNNNNNNNNNNNGUUAACUUUUUGACUUGUAACUCAACUAUGUCUUUAUUCUAUCAAAUCCAUCAAACAAAUUUCCACAAUAAAAACUUAUUGAGCUUCAUUUUAAUGUCAUAAAAAGUUAUAAAAUUGAUUUCUUUUAAAAGUGAAAGAAAAAUUCACACACUAAAAUUUAAAGAACUGAAAAGGAGGCUCUAAUACAACGUAAAUUUUGCUGACUUAUCUCUCUAGUUGAGAGUUCUGUCAUUGAAUAGAAGGUCUUGUCCUUGUACAUCCCUAAAGACCGGCCAUGAGUACCCUAAUAUUUGUAUUCCCUAAUAUUUGUCAUUCUUAGAUCUUACAUUUUUAAGAAUUUCUCCUAUAUCUAAGUAUUGAAAGUUAUUUACACUAGUAUUUACAAAUAUUACAUAUUUAUAACUGAAAUCUCUCUAGAUUGCCGGACAAAUAUUAUCUGUCCAUUAACCUAACAUGUAUAAUAUUCAAUUUUCAAGUAUAAAAGAAAUUUAACCUUCAAUAAUUGAAUGGUGUAUGGGACUAUCCUUGAUACAUAAGCAAGGUAGUUCAGGGCAUUACCAAGAUCAGAGCACAAGAAAAAGUUCUUUUGCUCAUGCUAAGGGAAGGCAAUAUAUGGACAGAUUAUACGCCUAAGCUAACUUUUUAAUUUUGCACACGAUUAAAAAACUGUCAAAAACUUGAUCUAAAAAAACUGACUUCAAAAGAGGUGGAGAAAAAUCAAUCCCAUGUGGUUGGCGCUUAAACAAGUAUUAUAAGAUUUUUUAAACAAAAUCGACAUCUCAAGGUCAAAAACCCAAAAUAAAAAUUAAAUUAACCUCCUAAGAUCAAAUUCAUUUAAAAAAAAUUGCAACAGUCAAUCUCCGGAGAUUGAUUAUUUUUUUUAAUAUAAUUUUUUUUGCAAAUGACCUCAUGAGGUCAAUUUUUAAAUUUUUAAUUACUAUUUAUUUUUUUAUAAAAGUUAACUGCUGAUAGAAAUGUAUUCUACCAUAUUAAAGAUGGAAAUUUGAAUCACAAAUGGUGUAUCUUAUUAUUUUGCAAUUGAAAAUCAACCUCAUGAGAUCGACAUUGUUCAAAAUGAAAAAUAAAAAUCGACUUCCUGAAAUCAGUUUAUUUUUUUUAAAAAAAAAUUAUUUAGAUAAAAAUCUCACGAAGUUAAAAAAUACAGACUUCAUAUAACAAUAUCAUAUUAGCAAAGAUUGUCAAUAGUACAAAUUAGUUCUCAUUAAAGGCAAGUGAAAUACAUAUCUACAUAGCACAAAUUUAACUGUUCGAGAUGAAGCAACUUAGAAAUGUCAGUCUAGAUGCACAUGCGAGGGAUAUCUCAAAUUAAAUUUUAAAUCGCGAAGGAAGGAGAAAUUAAUACUACUCAACAAACAUUCUUGGCUAAAAUCUCUUACAAAAUCAGAGAAUAUGGAUGUUCCGUGAACAAGAUUACCUGGAAGUAGAGAAAGAUUUUCGAGUGCCCAAAUUAUCGAGAAUUUUCUGUCGGAGAGGAUCUAGAGUUCUCUAUUAAAAAAGAGUUCUUGAACCCGCAGUUUGACUCCCACAAACAGAUGAAUUUGAGAUUGACUGUGAAAUUGAGCGCUCUAGUAGUUAAAAUUUUCAAAUAUAAGAUUGACGGGUCAAACCGCAAAUUAUAAUAGGUCGUCACUUGAGACUUCUAUAAUAAUGCCAGUCUACAAGCCGCUUAAAAUGUAAAUAAAUCUUAAAUUGGAUUUUUUUUUUUAUUAUCUACUUUUAUACUGGAAAUUAAUUUGAUGAAAGAACUCGUUGCAUUACGGAAACUCCUUGAAAGAAUCCGAAUUGUAAGUUAACUAAUGUAAUGAUGGUGGAAAGUUUCAUAAUUAGUAAUAGCUAUGUUUAGUUCAAUCCAAUCUUCUUUUUAGAAUUAUACUAACUAUUGUACGUUGAGGAUUAAGACGCAUUCAUUCGAUCCUCUUAUAAAUACGUUGAAGAACCAUUUUCACUUUUUAACUUGAUUAAUGGUAAAGGGAUAGAUCAUUUAUUAAUAGUAUUAAUACAUUUUAAUAAAAUGUAAAGACCCAAGCUGAGGUCCUUACCACAGCGGGCAUCCCGACCCAUGAAGGCUCGGGAGACCCUUAACAUAUUAUCAUAAGCAUAAUUUACAACAAUGGAAAUGUGAAAGGUAAACUGAAACAUGAAAAUUUUUCAUAAUCAAAAUUAGUACAUCAAGACAUGAAUCUAUGAAAAUCCAAAUCUAGUGUAACAAAUUUAUGAAGCUUCUACUGAAACAGUAGUCUGUCUAAGCAGGGACAAAGCCUCCAAUCGGAGCAUGAAACUAAAAAUAAAUCAACAUGUAGAUAAAGCUCCUUACAAAGUAAGGGAGGCACACCAAUUCUGAAUGUAUAAAACAAAUCACUAUUAAGCUAGACUACGAGAUUGUAUCUCAGAACCUACAUUAUGAGACAAUGCAACUGUCAUGAGGACGGACAAUACUUGAAAUAUAUUGGCACAUAGAAAGGCCAAAAGAAAUAACUUUCAAAAUAUCAUAAUAGUCAAAACAUCAUAAAAAUCAUAACAUGGGGUCAUAUGACAUUAAAAUAGUCUGAAAACAUGUAAUUCAAUAAAAAACCGCUUUGUAAACAGCAUCAUGUUAGUCUUUAGUUCUGAGCUAGGCGGUAUACACGACAGGAUCAGAAAAAUCCCAAGGGUUAUGCAGAGUUUGACAUUAACUUGUCGUACAUUCCCCUAAUCCCAGUUUGAUGCCAGGAUUGGAUUGUCUGGCCUGGUAUAUAAUGGCAUAUAGCAAGUAUACAAUGAUCAUCCAUAUUUGAGGACAAGAUCAAUCCCGUAUUAGCAAAAAAUGGUUUUGAGCUAUUAGUUAUCUAAACGCGUGCCUUCUUGGUUAUCCACCUAAUUCUCUUUAAGCCCAUAUUUUAACCUCUUAAAAUAUGCGUACUUUCUUAAAACAUGAUCUAAUGUCUGAAAAAUUUGUAGUCUAGUCUGGUCUGAGUAUUUCAUGACAUUUGUCUAAUUUGAUAUCGUCAUACCAAGACUUUCAAGUUGUAUAAGCCACACCAUAUCGUGUCAUAUCAUAUCGUAGCCCUUUUUAUUCAAAAUCAUGUCAUUUGACCACUGCAAGGACUCAUAGGCCAAAAGAGAGUUCUCUUUUAAAACUGUUAUGAAAGCUUAAGUAAAAAUGUCUUUCUUUCAAAGCUUAACUCUUAAGGUGGUCAUAUCUUUCAUAAACACAUAGUAAAACUCUUCCAGUAAUCUUGGUGGUUUAGUUAAGCAUUCCCAUUCAUGAAAUUUGUUAAAGCUUUUAAGAGAAGGAUUACUCUUUUCAAUCAUAUUCAAUGCACAACCAUUGUAAAACAAAAACAACAUCAAAAGAAGGCUUUAACAAAAUGUUGUUCUCCUUUAGAAAAUAGAUUUCAGACUAGACAAAAUGGCCAUCAAACAUUUUCCUAAUUUUUAGAAAUUAAAAAUACAAAAUAUUUUCCCAAUUUUGAAUCAAACAUUGAAUAAACCUAAAAUUUAAUCCUUAUAAAAUACAAAAUAUUUUCCCAAUUUUGGUUGUAACAGUUUGAAUUGGUGGGAUCUUGUCAAACUUCAAUUAGCGUUCUAAAUAAACAGACAACAUUACUUUAGAUUUAGAAUUUUAUCUCAUAAAGUUUUCUCAUGUUACGUCCAGUUGUAAAGCUGCUUGUCAUAGUUCCGUACAAUUAAUUGUUAAUGCAAUUUAAUAGAAAAGAGAGAUUGCAGUAAUAAUGAAGAAGAUAUAGUCAGUGUAAAUUCAUAAAUAGGGUCUAGAUCAAGUGAUCUUACCUCUAUCUUCUGAGAGGUAGAGAGACGGUUUCGAAAAGAUCCUGGGGAUGAUCGCGUUGAAAAGAAAGAGACUACUACAACAACAAACUUUACUCCUAUGUCCCAAGAAAUAGAGAGGUUGUUUUUGAAAGACCCUCGAGUUGUGGUCGAAUUGAAAUGAGAGAUUACAACAACAAAAAACAACAACAAUAAAAACUAAAACGAUAUGUCUAGUAUAAUUUCUUGGGAGGGAUUCGAAGAGACAAAAUGUAGAUAGAAUUUAAUUCUAUCCCUCAAAAAAUUGAGAGGUUAUUUUGGUAGGUUCCUCGUGUACGUCAGGGGGGAAAAGAGAGAGAGACUAUAUGUUAACUUUUUGACUGGUAACUCAACUAUGUCUUUAUUCUAUCAAAACCAUCAAACUAAUUUCCAUAAUAAAACUUACUCAAUUUCUUUUAAAUGUCAUAAAAAGUUAUAAAAUUGAUUUCUUUUAUAUGUCAAAGAAAAAUUUAGACAUUAAAAGUUAAAGCAUUGAAAAGUCGGCGCUAAUACAAUGUUAAUUUUGUUGAUUUAUCUCUCAAGUUGAGAGUUCUGUCCUUAAAUAGAAUGACUUGUCCUCUUACAUCCCUAAAGACCUGCCAUUAUGUAGUGUAUGACUUGCUGGGACCAACGGUUCGGUUACCUUCGUUUGUUUUUUUAGAUCAAAUUCCCUAUCUAGAAGUCUUUACUGGUUUAAAUGGCCACUGAGUGAAAACUUCAACGAAACGAUCUCGGUUGUAAAUUCUGACUGCGCAGACAGUUCUUAAAUAUUGAUUUUAGUCUAAUUCGACCUUUGAUUCGAUUUCCAACACACGCGAGCUCAUUUCGACCUAAUAGUCGGAAAGUUGUAAAAUCGAAAUUAUAUGUGUGGGACCUACUUUUUGCAUAAACGACCUUGUAUGGAAAUUUCAAUGAUGCAAAUGAAUUUGAAUUGUUUUACACCCAAAUUUUACCAUUGGAUCAUAUAUUUUUUGUUCCGGAUGAGUUUUGAGGGUCAAAAACAAGUUUUUGACCUUGCUGUCAUAAGGUACCGCAUCUCUUCUCCGAGGUUGUCUAUAAAUAGACCCCACGGUCGCAAAUUUGUGUCUUGUGGGUGUUUAGGGAGUUUGGUAAACAUCUUUGAUCAUGAUUAUCAUCCUGAUUAAGGUAAGAUUUCAUUACUGUAUUGGUGAAUUUCUUAGUUCUUGAUUCAAAAUCUCAAUUUUUAGCUUAGGUCUUGAUUUAACCCUAAAUUUGAUUUGUUUUCACCCAUUAAUUGAGGGUUAUGAUUCCUUGGUUAUGUAUGAGCAUUGGGUUAACAUCAAAAAUGUGAUUUUCGUACGGGGGACCCACUUGGGAUUUUUGGUGUUGUUUUUGGAUCCGAAGCACAAUAGUUCAAUAUGGGUAUCAUUAAACUCUUAUUGAUCAUUAGAUUAUAUUUUUUGAUAGUGUGAUGACAUUUUGGGGUUUGUGAAGUGAAGACGAGCAUGUGGUGCUUGAAGUGUGAUUUUGCUGUCAAGGCCUUGUCCACUUUCCUUUAUAGAUGAUGUAUGACAUGUAUUACAUGUGGAUAUGAAUAUUAGGAUUGAUUAUGAGUAACAUAGCUUACCCUUGAUUAUUGAUGUUUUUUGAAAUUAGAUGAUGAUUUUGGACCCGUAAGAUUGUAUGUUUAUAACCUGCUGGAGUCCUAUUGCCUUCUCCCUAGUUUAGAUAGCAUUAUAGCAUGGAUUUGAUAUAUUUCUAGAUUAUGUAUGUGGUUUUAGUAUUGGAAGCAUGAUUAUUUUAUUGAUCUUAUUGGUCCAGUGUGACAUUCUUGAAACCAUAAUUUGGAUAGAACUGACUUAAGUGCCCUUUUUUCUAGUUGAAGUUCCUAUCUUAGGCUUGUAUGUGGCUUACUUGAUAUCUAGAAGUUGAACUAGAUAUCUUAUCCUCAUUUGGGGCAUAGUGUACCUAAUUAAAGAAAUUAAGGUUUAGAAGUUGGAUUGUCCGGCCCACUUAGGCCUAGACUUUUGUUAGUCAUUGUGUAAUUAGUUGCAAAUGUUAAACAUAGUUGAGACUAGUAAACCUUAGUAUAAUAUUACUUUGCGAUUAGGUAUAUUGUAAUGAUGUUUCUAGGAUUGUGACUUAUGAGUUAUAGCUAUGUUGUUUGUUAUAGAAAUGAUGUGAUAAAAUGGACCCAUAAAGAUAUUAUUUCCUCCAACACUUGUUACUUGGACCAUAGAUAUGCCAUUUCCUCUUAGACUUGAUAGUUGAACCAUAUAGAUGUUGUUUCCUCUUGGACAUGAAGUUGGGUCCUUAGAGAUAAUUUUCCUCUUAGAUCUGAUGUUGGGCCUAUAGAGAUGCUACUUCUAUUUAGAUAUUAUAGUUGGCCUAGAGAGGUGAUAUUCCUCACUAUCAUGAUGAAUGACCUUUAUAUAUUAAAUGACUUAUAGUUACAUCAUGCUUAUUGAUAUUAUGCCUCCUAUGUGAGAGAUGAUUAUAUGCUUAUUGAUAUUAUACCUCAUAUAUUCGCGAUGCCCCAUAGAUGUGAGAUGAUUAGAUAUAUGCUAUGACAUGUAACUAUGAUUAUACAGAUGUGUUCCAGAUAUGUAUAUGGGCCGAAGGACAUGAUGAUGAUAUUUUGAUUAUUUUGGAUAUAUUAUUGGGCCGAGGGUCUAUAGCUGAUAUUGAUUGGACAUACGGGAAGUGUUUAUCCUUGUUGAGGAUGCGGCUCCAGUUCAUGAAUAUAUGUAUAUAUAUAUGUGUAUACACAUCUCUCUAGUAUGGGAUGAAGAAUGGUGUGGUAUGAUUCUUAUGAUUUCACUGAUUGAAUACUGGUGAUGGAAUGCAUGAUUAGAUACAUUCAUGAUUAUUAUAUCGAUUAUUGAUGUGACUCUAGCUGAAUGUGAUCUUAUGACUGUUCUUCCCAAUUAUGGUAUAAGCUACGUGGUAACUAGUUGUCUAUUAGGUGACGAUAGUACUUAAUGCUUAGAAUUCUAAAUACGUUAGUUAAUGAGCCUUACUUAGUAAUAUAGCAACUAACGACUAGAGUUGAUACAUGGCUAUGAAAUUGGGUUUAUCAAUGGUAGUGAUAUUUGGUUAUUGAUAACAAGUUGUAAUGUCGAUUAGUUGUUAAAUUAGGAUAAUGUGGUCAACAUUGAUAGGUCUUAAGGAAUGCUAGUGAUAAUGAUUCCUAGUUAAUAUUAAUGCCUCAUUACUGAUGCUAACUAGCUAAUAAUGAGGCCUAUGGUGAACAGUAUUAGAUAUUGAUUUGUGUUUGUUAAUAAAAGAUGCUUAGUUGAUAAAUGAUGAAUAGUGAAUAGAUGGAAAUUAUGGAUUAAUGGUGAACUUUGACUAGACAUUAGGCUUGGCUAGUUAUUGAUUAAUGGUUAGUUGCUAUUCCAUGAUUAAUGAUUAUGUGAAGAAUCGGCUAGAUUGAUAACUAAAGAUAAUUUUAUGACUAGUAUACUAACGGUAUAAUAAUGAGACCUGAGCAAUUAAUAAUGAGUAGAUAGAAUAUAAUGAUAAGGUAUUUAUCUUUACGAUAUUAUGAUUAUGGUUAUGAGUAUAUCGAUUUGCGUCUGUACACCUAUUGUAUGCCUAUAUGUAUAUGUUGAUAGUUACGUUGAUAUAUUGAUACUUGGCUAGGCUGGAGGAUAUUGUGAUGACAUAUUGAUACCCGACAAGAUUGGAGGAUAUUAUGAUGAUAUUGAUACCCAGUUCAAGUUCGGAGAAUACUAUUGAGAUGAUAUUAAUACACGGCAAGACCGGAGGAUAUUAUGAUGAUAUUGAUAUCCGGUUUGAGUACGGAGAAUACUAUUGAGAUGAUAUUAAUACCCGACAAGGUCGGAGGAUAUUAUGGUGAUAUUGAUACCCAGUUCGAGAUUGGAGAAUAAUAUUGAGAUGAUAUUGAUACCCAAUUCGAGACUGGAGAAUAAUAUUGAGAUGAUAUUGAUGCCCGACAAGGCCAGAGAAUAUUAUGAUGGUAUUGAUAUGAGGUUCGAGUUUGAAGAAUACUAUUGAGAUCAUAUUGAUACCCAACAAGGUCGUAGGAUAUUGUGAUGAUAUUAAUACUCGAUUCAUGUUCGGAGGAUACUAUUAAGAUGAUAUUGAUUUCCGGCAAGGCCGCAGGUUGAUUACGAUGAUGAUGGUCCUGAUGAGGACAGUUAUUAUGAGUUGUGAUAUUGUUGGUAUACUUUGCAUUCAUUCCUGCAUGCGCGUCGCCUAUCACCAGUAUGCACCUAUAUUUAUUAGCCUGUAUGGGAUGGUUGCAUAGAUACAGGUGAAGGAUAUGUCUUGUAUUGUUGUAUCUUGAUUGAACCUUCCGAGCCUGGGGUGGUGGGGGUACACAUAGGCUCGUCUAGGUAUUUGUUUUUCUGGAGUAUUCGAUUCUUAAUGCCGUUAUUGAUAUUGUUAUUAUCAUUGUUAUGAUCAUUAUUAUGGCUAGCUAUGACAGAUUGGUCAUUGAUCCGGUAUCGGAAUUUGAGGUAUGUUUUUCGCCUCUCCUAUCUUAUCAUUGUGUUAUUAUGCAUAAGUAUUUCAUGUCUAGCCAUGUGGAUUAGAAUCCCCGAGUAUGAUAGUAUUUAACUCAUGAUAGUAUUUUAAUGAGGUCUUAAAAUGAGAACAUGAUGAUCUAGGUUAUGUUUGAAAAAAUCUUCUGUUAAUAUUUUUAUAUAUAUAUAUAUAUAUAAACAACGAAGAAAGGGAUAUAUGAAGCCAUGGUACUAUCAGAUAUCCCUUCCUUCGUUGUUUAUAUUGUAUAGUCGUUCGUUCGCCUUGUAUAUUACAAAAAAGUAAUAUAUCUUUCUUUCAUUCUUUAUUUUUAUAUUGACCAGGGAUAUACAGUAUAGUAUUGAAACAUAUUGAAUGUAGCUGGAAUAGGAUAGUUCACCUUGAUACUUCCUUAGUCUUAUGAAGUUAGACUCUUGGACAUGAAUAGGAUAGUUGUCCCUUGUUAUUCUCAUUGACUUAUUACAUGAUUUACGGACUCUUGGUUGUAGUUUCAAUUUUAUUUAUAUGUUGUAUAUAUCUACUUUAUCUUUGGAGCUAUGUUGGCAGUUGCCUACUAAGUACCAUUCAUUUGGUACUCAUACUACACCUCUGCAGCCUGCAGAUCAUAAUACGGGUUAUCGCUAUUGAUAUGUGCAUCAUGCAGAGUAGCCCUAAUUCAGAGACAUAGAGUGAGCUCCUGACGUUCUGAGUAUUACUUAUCUCUCUCCUAUGUAUUAGAUUAGCCUCUAAGUUGUAUUCAGAGAUAUGUUGAAUCAUGUAUUUUUCCUUGAUAUAUCACUUUUGAUCUCUUAUUAUGUUUAGAAGCUCUUGUACUGAUACCAUUAGGUUUCAGGAUUCUUUUGCGUAUUGAUCUUUAUUUCAUAUAUUCUACAUUCUUUUUCUUAUAUUAUUGAGUAAUCUGUUACUAGCUGUUCCGGACAACUGGUUGGUUUGCCUACUUGUGGGUUAUGGUAGGUGCCAUAAUGAUCUGAUAAAUCAAGUCGUGACACAUGAAUACCCUAACCUGCCAUGAAUACCCAGAUAUCUCUAUCCCCUAAUAUUUGUCAUUCUUAGCUCUUACAUUUUUAAGAAUUUCUCAUAUAUCUAAGUAUUAAAAGUUAUUUACACUAGUAUUCACAAAGAUUACAUAUUCAUAACUGAAAUCUGUCCAGAUAGCUCGAAAAAUAUUAUUUGUCCAUUAAGCUAACAUGUACAAUAUUCAAUUUUCAAGUAUAAAAGAAAUUUGACCUUCAAUAAUUGAAUGGUGUAUGGGACUAUCCUUGAUGCAUAAGCAAGGUAGUUCAGGAUAUUACCAAGAUCAGAGCAGAAGAAAAAGUAAUUUUGACUCAUGCUAAGGGAAGGCAAUAUAUUCACAGAUUAUACCACUAAGCUAACAUUUUAAUUUUGCACACGAUUAAAAAACUGUCAAAAAAUUGAUCUAAGAAAACUGAUUUCAAAAGAGGUGGAGAAAAAUCAAUACCAUGAGGUUGACGCUUAAACAAAUAUCUUAUAAUUUUAUAAACAAAAUCGACAUCUCAAGAUCAAUUUUUAAAGCGUGAAAAACCCGAAAAAAAAGAAGAGAAAACUAACCUCCUAAGAUCAAAUUUAUUUAAAAAAAAAUUGCAACAGUCAACCAAGGAGAUUGAUUCUUUUUAAUAUAAUUUUUUUUUUUUGCACAUGCCCUCCGGAGGUUAAUUUUUAAAUUUUUAAUUACUAUUUUUUUUUUUGAUAAAAUUUAACAGGCGAUAGAAAUGUGUUCUACCAUAAUAAAGAUGGAAAUUUGAAUCACAAAUGGUGCAUCCUAGGAAAUUUGAAUCACAAAUGGUGCAUCCUAUUAUUUUGCACCUGAAAAUCGAUCUCAUGAGAUCGAUAUUGUUCAAAAUGAGAAAUAAAAAUUGACUUCCUGAAAUCAGUUAACUAAAGUAAUGAUGGAGGAAAGUUACAUAAGUAGUAAUAGCUAUGUUUAUUUCAAUCCAAUCUUCUUUUUAGAAUUAUACUAAUUGUUGUACGUUGUGGAUUAAGACUCGUUCAUUCGAUCUGCUUAUAAAUACAUUGAAGAAUCAUUUUCACUUUUUGACUUGAUUAGUGGUAAAGUGGUAGAUCAUUUAUUAAUAAUAUUAAUACUAGUUUUAACACAAUGUAACGACCCAAGCUGAGGCCCUGACCACCACGGGCAUCCCGAACAAUGAAGGCUUGGAGACCCUUAGCAUAUUAUCAUUAGCAUAAUUCAUAUCAAUGGAAAUGUCGAAGGUAAACUUAAACAUGAAUCGUUUGCAUAAUCAAAAUUAGUAUAUCAAGACAUGAACCUAUGAAAAUCCAGAUCUAGUCUAACCAGUUUAUGAAGCUUCUAUUGAAACAAUAGUCUUUCUAAACAGGGACAAAGCCCCCAAUAGGAUCACGAAACUAAAAAGAAAUAAACAUACGGAUAAAGCACCUCCACCAACUCUGAAUGCUUAAAGGAAAUCUACUAUGGGACUUUGUCUCAGAACAUACAUUAUGAGACAAUACAGCAGCCGCGAGGACGAUCAAUACUGGAAAUGUUUUGGCACAUAGAAAGGCCAAAAGAAAUAACUUUCAAAAUAUCAUAAUAGUCAAAACAUCAUAAUAAUCAUAACAUGGGGUCAUAUGACAUCAAAAUAGUUUGAAAACAUGUAAUUAAAUAAAAAAAAUCUUUGUAAACAACAUCAUGUUAUUCUUUUGUUCUGAGCUAGGCCGCAUACCCAACAUGAUCUAAAAAAUCCCAAGGGUUAUGCAAAGUUUGACAUUAACUUGUUGUCCAUUCCCCUAAUCCGAGUUUUCCGUGAGGAUUGGAUUGUUUGGUAUCGUAUACAACUGCAUAUAGCAAGUAUACAAUGAUCAUCCAUAUUUCAGGACAAGAUCAAUCUCGUAUUAGCAAAAAAUCAUUUUGAGCUAUGAGUUAUCUAAAGUCGUGUCUUCUUGGUUAUCCACCUAAUUCUCUUUAAGCCCAUAUUUUAACCUCUUCAAAUAUGCAUACUUUCUUAAAACAUGGUCUAAAUUCUGAAAAGUUUGUAGUCUAGUCUGGUCUGAAUUUGUCAUGACAUUUGUUUUAUUUGAUAUCGUCAUACCAAGACUUUCGAGCCGUAUAAGCCAUAUCAUAUCGUGUCAUAUCAUUUCAUAGCCCUUUUUAUUCAAAAUCAUGUCAUUUGACCACUGCAAGGACUCAAAGGUCAUAAGCGAGUUCUCUUUUAAAACUGUUACGAAAGCUUAUGUAAAAAUGUCUUUCUUUCAAAGCUUAACUUUUAAGGUGGUCAUCUCUUUCAUAAACAUAUCAUCAAACUCUUCAAGUGAUCAUGGUUGUUUAGUUAAGCAUUCUCGUUCAUGAAAUUUGUUAAAGCUUUUAAGAGAGGGAUUACUCUUUUCAAUCAUAUUCAAUAAACCACCAUUGAAAAACAAGAAUAACAUCAAAACAAAUGAUAAUUAUAAAAACCUUCCUCAAGCAAAAUUCAGAAAGAAAAUCAUUCACAGCCUUAUCAUUUUCACAAAUCACAAUUCAAUAUGCGCACAUACAUAUGUAUGAACCCAUUAGAAUGCACAAUUGAGUAUGGAUGCAAAUCUUGAAAUUCAUGCUCUCGUUGUGAAUGAAAAUCUAAAUUCUGCAACACUGAAAAGAGCUAAAAAAAAAUUAUGAAUUCUAACCACAUAAGAUUUAGGUCGUUGUAUGUACCUCUAAUGGAGAGAAAUUAAAUCAAAGUUUACGCUUGGAUCUUGGAAUCCUCAAACCAUAGGAAGUUUUCUCCUCUCUUUCUCUUAGAAUGAUGAUCAGGUAUUCACUAAAGGGUGAAAGCAUUUUUAAGGAUCUAAAAUUUUAUAUAUGUGAUUUGGAAUGACUUAGAAGUGUGAAAAGACCAGCGUGCCAUUAAAAUAUUACAAAAACAAAUUAAUUUUGACAUACUGAACAGGGUCGCGCCAUCACAAACUUCAGGAUUCAUGGGGCAAACCUCAUCACGAACAUCAGGUUUCAUGGGGAGAACUCUAUCACAAACGUCACGGUUCGUUGGGCAAACCCUUAAGCAAACUUGAAGCUGUAGCUCUAUAACACCCCAAAAUAUGAUCCCCGAGAUGUCACACGGUGCUAGAUAUAGAUGGUGAUGCUCGAACUACUCACGCUGCUGAUGGUGAGCACCUGAACCUACAUUAUGAGACAAUACAACACAUAGACGUAUAGGUGGAUCAUUACAUUGAGGAUGUACUGAGUAUAUGAGGGUGAUAUGAAUAAGUAAAACAUCAUAUUAUAAUCAUAAUUUAUAAAACAAUCCAUGCUAAAUGUAAAUGACUCACGAAUAUCUGAAAUAUUGAAAUAUGUAAUCAUGGAUAGCAAAUCAUACUUUAUAAAUUUAGUGAGCCAUAACAUUUAGUUCUAAAAACUAUACUUAUAUUUUCUCUUUAAAUCAUAGUGUCGAAGUGUAGAAAGGACUCACUCUUAAGUCAGAAAACUGUAAGAUGAAAUUUCUAACUAUAAUCUUUCGGUAAAGUAUAAUCUGAAAUAAAGUUGUGAGCCUUUACAUUUAGUUUCUAAAAGCUUUUCUAUAAAUCUUUUCUGUAAGAGAAAAUACUUUAUCUUUUAUUUGAAAGCUUAUAUGUAAGGGAGGUUCUUUUAACCGACAUAAACCAUGCGAGCUACAUGGAGUCCAACGUCGCAUCCUCCUAAGGAAGAAACCUCACAUUGGGGAGAGGUGUCAUACUCUUGCCAGGGAGUAUAACCUCAUCUAUGUGAUUACAUAUCUGCCCACUAUGGGCUCUUAAUCUCAAAUCUAUGGUGGCACGUAGUUUUGGGGUAUGAGACCUUGGAAUAAUACCCAACUCUGUGCUACAUACUACUCCCUUUAAUUUGAUACACUCAUCUAAUGGAAAUUCAUCGUGUCAGAGCUCAUAACUCAGAUUAGGUGGUAUCCCUUCUAUCUAUAUGAUAUGUUUCCUUGCCUGGUGCACUAAAUUUUUCUAUAAAAUACAAGUUUCUAUAUAAGAUUGUUGCUUCAUCAAACUUCUAUAUGCAACUAGCAUAGCGUGAAUCUCAUCUAGCCUAUAAUCGAAUCGAACUCAGUUCUCUUAAUAAGAUAUUUUUGGUUAGCCUCUCAAAGAGCUUCGUCUAUUACUUAUAUAUAUAUCACAUGAAGCCUCCCUACUUUAUUCCGGAUACCCGCGGAUUUCUCAAUACAAAUACCAAGAUAGACGCGAGAAAGCUAGUCGUCCUCAUCUUUCUUUUACGCUUUCUUCUCUUAUGAGAUUUAGAGGUUCUGGCAGCGGUGUGAAACUAUAUGAGAAUGAGGACUGAAUGAAAUGCCAUAACUUCAGUUCUAACUCCUUCCUCUCCUUCAGUAGUGAACUCAGGAAAAGACCUAUCAAUCUAUUUGAUUUCCCAUCAAGCCAAGCAAGGUUCACUCACUGAACGUUGUACUUCCUAUAUCUAUGAUAGUAGAGUUAGCCUGUCUUUGCCGACAGGUGAUUUGGCAAGCGAUGAGGCCCAUCUUAAAGGGGUGGGUCACUCUCCUUUCUUUAAAGGUGUCCCUGCUUCACUCUAAGGAUGACAUAUGAUUAACUAGCACAGGAGAGAGAGUUAGACUUGACUUUGUCAUUUCCUCGCUUAAUCUCAUAUUAGUCAGUCUACUUGCCCAAAGCUACUACCUCAGAAAAAGUGAACCGAGGGAAAGCUAUCAUAACAGACUAGUUCUCUUAUUCACUGGGGGAGUCUAGGGAAUUUAGAAUAUGUAUUCAGAAGAGGUUGAAUGGCCGAAAUAAGAGGUCGAUAGCCUUCUUUCUAUUUGAAUUUGAACCCAAAGUAUGAUUCGAACCUACCUUUAUUCAUAUAAACUAAUUGCUCUACCAACUAGCCUUCUGGGUGGGCUUAAGACACUGAUAUGCUAGAUCUAUAUACAACCUUCUUGUAUCAUGGGUUUGAAUCCCAUACAAGCUAUAUAACCAUGUAGCGUUGGGCUUAACCGAGACUAGAUUGGAAGAAAUAUGGAGGUCUACGUUGAUGGCAUGCUUAUUAGAAUCAGAGAGGUUCUGGACAUAGUGGCAAACCUAAAAGAGACCUUGGACACCCUCAGGAAAAGGGGCAGACUGAAGUCAUUAAUAAGACUAUCCUACAAGGUCUCAAGACCAAACUUGUGAAAGUUAAAGGGUGCUUUGACCGGGGAUUCACACUCUCAAUAAUACCCAUACUACCACAGGAAAAACCGCUAUAGAAGCUAACCUAUUGUAAUAUCUUAAACCAAUUUUGAAAGGGAGGGAGAGUUUUUUUAUAUCAAGGCGCUCGAAAGCUAAAAGCUUUUCAUCAGAAGACAGAAAGGAAGUACCUAUUUUCUACUAUCUCAGUAGGUGAAGAGGUAUUAAAUACCAAUUUUAGCAGAAAGGAAGGCAUUUACAGUGGAGAGGACAGCAUAAAAGUAUAAAAGUUCUGACUUAGAUCAAAGAAGGUGUUAUGGGUCGGCCUUGGGAAGUCGAGAAAAACUUUCUUUACCAUUAAGAUUGAACUGCUCUAGGGCUUAUUCCAUCUUCAAUUCAUAGCAUGAAAGUGAAAGUCUCAAUCCCAGUUCCGUAUUAAGAAAGUAGACGGACAGAACUACUAGAGCUUGUUAGGAGCCCUUAGGAUUGGUCCUCAUCUAGUCGAGGAAAAAUCCCUCUAAAGCUUUUAUAGGGGACAUCUUUUCUAAUAUGCCUUCCCUGGACAAGGAUUUUAUUUAUGAUUUUCUUUACCUUGCCUCCUUUUCCCCAUAAGCCUUAUCUGCACGUGAAUAAGAGUAAUCAUUUACCGAAUCUACAUCAGCCGAAGCCUUUGCUUUCUCUCUUCCCUCUUUCUUUGCUAACCUCUAUUCCAUUGAAUGCUAUUAAGUCUGGAAUUGAGCCAAACUAUUUUUGUUAUAGCUUUCUUCCAAUAGAAGAUUCAUUCGCAAGAACCGAUGUCGUACAUCUUCAGUGUAAUGAUCCAUAAUCUAACUAACUAUUUUAAUUAACUUAACUGUAUUCUUUUCUUUCAAAUCAAGCUCCAUAUUCUACUUUUAUUUUUUCAGUCCUUCUAAAAGAAAGAUAGCAAGAGGCUAAGUUAUUCACUUGCGCCUGGGCUUUGUUUUUUGAGUAAAGGUUCUAUGGUGAAGAUCCUGGUCAAGGAUACCCUAUUAAAGAGAACAUUCGGGGACCUAUGGUUAUCUCUUCCUUAGUUUCCAAAUCUAAUGGAGGUUUAAAUUCAAUGGAUCCACCGUAAUUUGUAUGUCAAAUGAGGCCUCGAUGGAGAGAUAGAUGGGAACUCCUACUCUGACUAGAGUUUUGAUUUCUAAGAGGGAUUUUCAGUCAUCUAUCCCUUUUGUUUCCCUAGCGAGUGAAGAAGGAGUGGAUGUUUUGAAUGAGUGUUGAGCGAGUGAAGUGCCCUAUAAAGAAGGGCGAGUUGUAUGUAUAAAUUCGAUGAGCAAUGAUUUCACAUCAGGUUCCAAGUGCAUCCAGCAGGAACUGAACCUACGAAUUCGCCAUAUCAAACUCGAUAAACUUGAAUCUUGAGAUAGAGAAAUACAAUUAAUGGAUGGAUUCCUUCAUUAAUCAUAAUGAAACCAUCCAGCAACUGGUAGUAACAAAACCACCUUGUUGUGGAGAUGGCCGACGAUUGGGCCUCAAAAUAUUUUAUUUGGAAGGAAUGCUUUCACAAGCGGUAGAAAGAGACGAUGUUCGAUAUUUACCUAUAUAGAUAACCAGUCAACCUCGAUACACUUAACAUAACAGAGUCCUUUUUUAUGCUUGUUUUUUUUGCAUACAGACUAGAUGAAACGAAACUAAAAUCCCCAUAGAUGCUUGAACAAAAAGAUAACCUAAGGCCAUAGCUGACGUUCUUGUUAUUGGACACGUGAGAUAUCCCAGCAUUAGAGCAUUGAUUUUUCCUUUCUUUCUUCUGUGCGAAGGCGAAACAAUAAGAAAAAAAACGUUCAUUUCAAAACUAUCAGGUGAGAAGAACAGAGAAAAGAAAGAGUUUUCAUGAAAGCUACGGGAAAGUCAAAUAAUUUCUUUUUUAUCAAUGAGAUAAAUAUGAAAAAGGAAUAAUUCUAUCUAAAGAGAUGAGAUCCUUGCUCCUGACUAAUGGAAGCAAGGGGCCGAGUUAUUCUCUAAAACUAUAAUAUAAAACAAGUAAACCUGGAAUCUUCAAAGAGAACUUUAAAGAAAUGUCAUAUAGGGAAAGUCCAGCUUCAAAUCCGACUUCUAACUCCCUCAUCUUAGAGUUCUCGUUAGAGCAAAAGUAAGGCACUAAGCGAAGAGCUCAAGGCCAGUAAAAUCAGUCUAAGAGGCUAAGGAAGAGUUGGGGUAAUGUUUUGUGUGCCAAUUGAACUCACACUUAGAGAAUUUGGCAUACACCACAUGAUCCUUAACGGUCUAAAGCACGAUUCGUAGGUGAUUAGUAUGAUCUUCCUCACUCUGAGAGUAAACUAAAAUAUCUAUGACGAAAUCAAUAACAAAUAGAUCCAAAAACUGAUGGAACACCCUAUUCUGAGGUCCAUAAAUGUACAAAGGCAUUAGUCAGACUGAAGGAGAAAUGACCAUUAAUUCAUAGUGACUUUAUCGGGUUUGAAAAUUUUUUUUGGGAAUGUUAGCCUCCAUUACCUUAAACUAAUGAUAACCCAAAUAGAGGUCUAUCAUAGAGAAAUAUGUAGCACCCUAAAGCUGGCCAAAAAGAUCAUCAAAUUCUGGGAAGAUGGUACUUAUUAUUGACAAUGGCUUUAUUAAAUAGACAGUAAUCUAUACACAUACAGAGGGAGCAACAUUUCUUACGCAUGAAGAGAAUAGGAGCACCCUAGGGCGAGACAUGAGGAUGAAUGAAGACCUUAUCAAGAAGAUAUUUUAACUGCUCAUGCAAUUCUUUCAAUUUCAUAGGGGUCAUUUUAUAUAAUGGAAUAGAAAUAGGCUGAGUGUUUGGCAACAAGUCAAUACCAAAAUCUAUUCCCUAUCUGGGGUAUCCCAAGGAGGACUUCAAGGAAUUUAAUAACUACUGAGACCGACUGGGGAGAAUGACUUUCAUUGCUAGAAUCAUUAACCUGAAUGGGGAAGGGGUUUGGAAGAAAGGGGAAGCUCAGUCCUUGAUAUGUUGCCCCAUAUUUGGUUUUGAGGAGGGUCGGUAACAUUGUGUAUGAGUUGGAAUUUCCCUCUAGUGUGGGUUCUAUACACCCGGUGUUCCAUGUGUCGAUAUUAAGGAAGUUCGUGGGUGAUCAUUCAUUGGUUAUUACCAUAUAGAGCAUUGGUAUUUCAAACUCCUUGUCUUAUGAGGAAGACCCGGUGAUGAUCUUGGAUCGAUAAAUUCAUCAGUUAUGAAAGAAAGACGUGGCUUCAAUAAAGGGUCUCUGGCAGAACAAAAAGUUCAAGAAAAGUACUUGGAAAAAUGAGGAGGACAUGAAGUCCAAGUGUUCGUUCCUAUUACCUAUUUUAGAAAAUUGUGCUUAAGAUAUAUGUGUUUUUAACAUCUUUGUUUUCUGGCUUUGUUAAAGGAAAACUUGCAGUUUUGUUGACUUUUUUGUUUUUAGACAUUUUAAAAGGGAAGUGUGAUUGUAUUUCUAAAUUAAAUCAUGCUAAUGAAUGCCUUGUCCCAUCAUUCGAGGACGAAUGAUCCUAAGGGGGAAGACUAAAACACCCCAAAAUUUUAGCCCUUGAAAAUUCCAAGUUUUUGACCUCACUGCCCAGACUACGACUCCUAUUAUGAUUUUUAGGGUUUCUUUACGGGUCUUAAGGACCCAAUCAUUACCAAAGUAGUGGGUGUGUCUAGGUCUUCUUUUCUGAGAAUGAAUGGCUCCCAACGAGUCGUAUGGACUCAUUAUGAGUCAUUAUGUGUCCUCCGUAGUGUGACCAAUGUGAUGCCCAAUUGUUAUUAUUCUGACUACGACUGGUGGUCAUGAGUUGUAAAGACUCAAUACGAGUCAAUUGGUCCCAAUCAUAGCCAAGUUAGUGUGUGCCUCAUGUGUUUCUUUCCUAACUAUGACUUGGACCCUAUGAAUCGCAUGGUUCCGUAACGAGUCAUAUGAUGUAAUUCGUAGAGUCACCCGUAGGUAGGCCAUAUGACACUGUCUCGAUUAUGACUCGUAGUGACGAUUCAUAAUGAUUUGUAGUCCUAGGCGACCAAAUUUUAAGUCAUAUCAUUAAGGGCAUUCUGGGUGGUACUCCUCCUUCCCUACUUAGUACCCAAGACCAUAAAGUACUAAAGGGGUUUAUUUCUCAUUUACAACUCAGCCAAAACAUUCUCAAAUCACUAAAUAUUCUCUCAAGAAACUUAGGAUUUCCAAGAGGUUGGUCAUCUAAGGGAUCCCUUACGCUUAAUGUCUUUAUUUAAUUAAAAUACAUGUUUGUUUAUGUGAUUGAAAUUAAGGGUUUUGACGUGGUUGAUGGAUUUUGACAUGAUUGGUCUCUAAUUUGAUUUCCCAUGGUUAUUUAUGCACUAUUCAUUCUUGUUGAUGGUUUUGAAACUUGUAGGGUGCAUGGGUUUGAUAAAUAAAAGGGUCAUGUUUUCCCCAAGUUUAAUGGUUUUGCCUUGACUUGUGGCUUUAGAAAUUGUGUGUUCUCUACCAAAUUGUGAAAUUGAUCAUGAUAAUGGCCUUGUCACAUGAUUUGACUUGUCUACUUGAAUGAAUGAAUUGGUAUAAAAGGUUAAUGAAGUAUAAAUGGCUCAAUAAAGGCCUUGGUUGCCAUGAAUUUAUUUGAAUUGGAGCCUUGGGGAUUGGUUGGAUAAAUGGGUUUGAGUCCCAAAUGUUUGACUAAUUUGAUGUCGCUUUUGGACAAUGGGUUCAAAUCGUAGUUGAUGAAAUAAUUGUCAUGGAAUGUUAUAAACUUUCAAGUGGGUUGGUAUGAAUAUACCAACGUGAUACCUUAAUACUUAAUUGGGUUAAUAAUCGGGAAUGUGUAUUAAAUGUUUUAAAUUGGCCUUUAAAGAUGGUUGUAUUGCCAGGUCGUGAAGGAAAUAAUUUUAAGUUGGUACGUUACAUAGAUAAAACUUUUGUUGGUACACAUACACAUUUUUGCAUGAUCAAUUGAUGACAUAAAAAAUUCAUUAUUUGAUGAAGUUAAGGGAGUCGAGAAAAAAUUGCAAGAACUUCCGAUAUGGCAUGGUUCAAAGCUUCGUCUGGGUUCUUCCGCGAAAAGUUCAGGAUAACUUCCAAAAAAUCACUUUAAGAGGGAGUGUGAAAAUACCAAUGUAGAUUUUUGGAAUCAUAGAUUUCUACUAAAGUUUCUAGAACAGUCUAAUGUAGUAUUUAGGAUAAUCAACUUGAAGAAAUAUCUAGCUAUUCUAGAGCAAUGGUUGAAGAUAAAUAUCACUAGGUUUUUAUCUUAUAGAACUUUCUAGAUAGUCGAGAGUAAUUGAAGAUAAGGAUAACUAGAUUUUCUUAUAGAAGUAUCUAGAAAGAUAGCUAGAAUCUUCCAUAGGCAAGUAUAAAUAGGAGUCACAUUAUACAUUUGUAACCUUCCAAAAAACCAACCCAAAACAAUCCAAUUUAAGUAGUCUUCUUCUAUACUCAAGUUUCCUUUGAAUAUCUUCCUUCACCUUCAAAGAUUCCUCUUCUUAGUUGAAUCUUUCAAUCUUAGUUAACGAUCUUGGGUUAGAAGAACGUCUACCCAAUUACCCCUUUUUUCUGCAAUUCUCUAUAGGUUGCCUUUACUAGAUCUACUUUGUUGGGAAAGGCUGGGAUACUUCUUGGGUAAGUUGACAUAUUGCUUAAUCCAAAGAUGAUUAUUUAUUUCAUGUUUUACUCCCCUUGUGACACCAGGGAGCGAAACACGAAAUAAAUACUCAUCCUUGGAUUCAGCAAUGUCAACUGAUCCACAAGUGGCUUGACCUUUCCCAACGAAGCCGAUCCAAUAAGGACAACCCCUCCAUAAGCAUGAUUUAUAAGAUUUUUCCACUCCUUUCUGGCUGGACAAGCAGAGAAAUGAACCAUUGCAGUUCUUGUAAAAGGUGGAAGGAAACAAAAAGGGUUGGGAAAAUGGGAGAUAUUUUUUGAGAUAAAUUACCUCAGUUUGAUGAAUAUUUUAAGAGAUCUGGGAGCGAAAGGAGGGUGGUAAAAAGUUCUAUUUUAGUUUAAUAUGUGAGUAGAUUCAUAGUUGUACAAGAUUUGAAUAAAUUAAUUUUCUAUGUAAAUUUGAAGUAAUAUAUUUCGUUUAAAUAAAUUUUAAUAUUUAGAACUUACAUAAAGUAUUAUAAAUUGUUAUAAUUAAUAAUUCAAAAGUAUUUUAAAACAAUAAUGAGAAAAGAAACCAUCAUUUGAUUCUCCUAAUAAUAUCUUGAUCAUAUAAAGUUAAAGAAAGUGAUGAUAGUUAUUAUACACCUAUAAUAGCUUUCGAAGUUUUAUUGUUAUUUGAUUGUUACAGAAAUUAGUUUUACAAUGGGUAAUAAUGAUAAUUGUGGUAUCAUUAUCAUAGACCAGGUAGAAACUUUAUAAAUAUAAUACUAAAAACUUGAAGGGCUUAAACAAAAUGUUGUUCACCUUUUGAAAAUAGAUUUCAGACUAGACAAAAUAGCCAUCAAACAUUUUCAUAAAAUUUACAAUUUGAAAAUACGUUAAUAUAUUAUUAUUAAUCCCAUACUUUAUUUGAAUUGAAUAUACCUAACAUUUAAUCCUUAGAAAAUACUAAAUGUUCUCCCAAUUUUGCUUGUAACAGCUUGAAUUGGUGGGAUCUUGUCAAACUUUAAUUAGCGUUCCAAAUAAACACACAACAUUACUUUACUUUUAGCAUUUUAUCUCAUAAAGUUUUCUUAAGCUACGUCCAGUCGUAAAGCUGCUUGUCAUAGUUCCAUACAAUUAAUUGUCAAUGCAGAUGCAGUUUAACAAAAAGAGAGAUUACUGUAAGAAUGACCAAGAUAUACUCAAGUGUAAAUUCAUAAAUAGGGUUUAGAUUAGGUGAUAUUACCGCUACCUUCUGAGAGGUAGAGACUGUAUCGAAAAGGACCUGGAGCUAAUCGAGUGGAAAAGAAAGAAACUACUACAUUAACAAACUUUACUCCUAUGUCCCAAGAAAUUGAGAGAUUGUUUUUGAAAGACCUUCAAGCUGGUCGAAUGGACAAGAGAGAUUACAACAGCAAGCAACAACAAUAAUAACAACAACAAUAUGUCCAGUAUAAUUUCUUGGGAGGGAUUCGAAGAGACAAAAUGUUGAUAGAAUUUACUUCUAUUGCUCCAAAAAUAGAGAGGUUAUUUUCGAAGGUUCCUCGCGUACGUCCGGGGGGAGGGCGGGGGUGGGGGGGGAGUUGGAGGGGAAGAGAGAGAGACUAUAUGUUAACUUUUUGACUGGUAACUCAACAAUGUCUUUAUUAUAUUAAAGCCAUCAAACUAAUUUCCAUAAUAAAACGUAUUCAGUUUCUUUUUAAUGUCAUAAAGAGUUUUAAAAUUGAUUUCUUAUAAAUGUCAAAGAAAAAUUCAGUCACUAAAAUUUAAAGCAUUGAAAAGAAGGCUUUAAUUCAAUGUCAAUUUUGCUGACUUAUCACUCCAAUUGAGAGUUCUAUCAUUAAAUAGAAGGACUUGUCCUUGUACAUCGCUAAAGACUGGCCAUAAACUCCCUGUGAUAUCUGUAUCUCCUAAUAUUUGUCAUUUUUAGCUCUUACAUUUUUAAGAAUUUCUCUUAUAUCUAAGUAUUAAAAGUUAUUUAGACUAGUGUUUACAAAGAUUACAUAUUUAUAACAGAAAUUUGUCGAGAUAGCUGGACCAAUAUUAUUUGUCCAUUACCAAGAUCAGAGCCGAAGAAAAAGUUAUUUUGACUCAUGCUAAGGGAAGGUAAUAUAUUGACAGAUUAUACUACUAAGCUAACUUUUUAAAUUUUGUACACGAUUACAAUUUUUUAAAAAAAUUGAUCUAGAAAAACUUACUUCAAAAGAGGUGGAGAAAAAUCAAUUCCAUGAGGUUGGCGCUUACAAAAAUAUUCUACAAUUUUAUAAACAAAAUCUACAUCUCAAGAUCGAUUUUUAUAGCAUCAACAAACCAAAAAAAAAAAAAGUAAAUUAACCUCCUAAGAUCAAAUUCAUUUAAAAAAAAUUUGCAACAGUCAACCUCCGGAGAUUGAUUCUUUUUAAUACAAUUAUUUUUUUUUGCACAUGACCUUAGGAGGUCUACUUUUAAACUUUUAAUUACUAUUUAUUUUUUGAUAAAAGUUAACCGCCGAUAGAAAUGUAUUCUACCAUAAUAAAGAUGAAAAUUUGAAUCACAAAUGGUGUAUCUUAUUAUUUCGCAAUUGAACAUCAACCUCAUGAGAUCGACAUUGUUCAAAAUGAAAAAAUAAAAAUUGGUUUCCUAAAAUCAGUUUAUUUUUUUAAAAAAAUAUAUAUUUACAUAAAAAUCUCAUGCAGUUAAAAAAAUACAGACUUCAUAAAACAAUACCAUAUUAGGAAAAAUUGUCAAUAGUACAAAUUAGAUCUCGUUAAAGGCAAGUGAAAUACAUGUCUACAAAGCACAAAUUUAACUACUCGAGAUGAAGCAACUUAGAAAUGUCAGUCUAGAUGAACAUGCGAGAGAUAUCUCGAAUAAAAUUUUAAAUAGCAAAUGAAGGAGAAAUUAAUAAUACUCAACAAAAUUUCUUGUCUAAAAUAUAAUUCAAAACCAGAGGUUAUGGAGGUUCGGUGAACAAGAUUACCUGGAAGUAGAGUGUAACACCCUGUACUUUCGGGCUAGAAUCUAGACCGUCGUUCCUACGCGUAUUGACCCGAACUAGAUAAUUCCUUGUUAAUAUAUGUGUGGUUAUUAAUCCUAUAGUGUGGGAAUACCUUUGAAUAUGAAUUGAGGUCACAAAAAUCCCCUAACUCUAAGACGAGUUGAAAACAUUUCUAGUGAAUAAGUUUCAGUGAACGUUUAAACUUAGGUCAACUUCCAUUGACCAUAACUUCUUGUAUUUAUCGAAUUAAAGGGCCUAAUAUAUAUGAAAUGAAAGGUCAUUGAAGUAUAUUUCUAACUAUAUCAAUUUGGACAAAAUACAAUACCCGAGCAAAUAGUUACAACCAUUUUUGUGAGAGAGGCAGUAGCUGCGCGCGAUUAGCGUGCGAUGUAUGCUCCAUCGCACCUACCUAAUUUUCAGGUUCUGUUUUCGCGUUUUUAAGGAAAAUGUGGACCUUUUCCUCACCCAAGGUCUGUCCAUAACAUAAGAUUCAUGCCCCAAAAGCAGAAUACACUCCAUAAUUCAAUUUUUCCUCUCAAAUUAAAACCCUAAAUCCUUUCCCUCAAGAUAAAGAAUCAAGAUUUUAAGUCCAAGACUCCAAGAAAAGGGUAAAGAUCCGGGUUCCAUCUAUCAAGAUCUAGGUUCCAUCUUAAAACUCUUAUAGUAUAAGGUACGUGGGGUUUAUCUUGAAAACUACAUGGGCUUGUAAACAUUAGAGCAUGACUAAAAGAUUAUUAAGCAUGAAUUUUAAAGGGGUUUUGGAAUCUAUAUUUAAAUUAUGUAUUCCGAAUGUUUCAAUGUUACUAUUGCUUUGGCCUUGUGGCCUUUUCCCCUACUGGGACUUCAUAGUUUGGAUUGCUCAUCACAGCCAGGGCCUCAGUUCGGAUCGUGAUAAACUUGGUAUCAGAGCAUAGUUCAUGGUCCCAAGGUGUCUGAAAAAUUGCGUCGGGUAAAGUCUUAUUUAUGGGUGUGUAGUACGCCACACUUAUAAGAAGGAGGGUUGUCACAACCAGAACUAGGUCCUGACCGUGACGGACACCUCGAACCAUGAAGGCCCUACGUCCUACUCUAUCUGGUAGUCAUGCACAACAUUCAUAUAAUAAAAGAAAAUGCGGAACUAUGAUAUAAUACGGAAACAUGGUCAUACUCUGGAUUAAAUUAAAAAAUAAGGAAUGAAAUCCAAAAUCAGCAAAAUAACAUCGGGAACAGUUUGAGAAAUCUCUACUACAUGAUAAUCUGACAACUAUAUGAAAACUGGGACAAGGCCCCCAGUAAACCUAAACUGUAAUAGAUGAAAUAAGCUUAAAGGACAGGCCUUAUGGAAUAGAGAAGGCUUACCACUGCACAAUCUGAUCUGAUGUCUGAAUUAUCUACUGCUUAUCUGGACCCCUAGGCUGAGCCUCAGAACCUGACAGGUAGGGGAGGGAGGUCAAUACAAAUGUACCGGUAUGCAACUCAAAUCCAAAAUAAUCAUUUAUAUUCAACAUAUAUGAGAGCAAUUAAAAACAAUUCGUAAACAUAUCAUAUAGUAAUAAAUCACAUGGGAGUUUUAAAAGACUAUGAAAACAUCUGAACUCUCUGAAACUCUUUGUAUUACUUCUGCGCUAGGUGGUAUACCCUACAAAUCUGAAAUUCCAUGGGCUAUAUGGAAAUUGCCAUUAACUCGACAACCAACUGCCAACUUUAGUGUGCCACAAGGGUCAGAGUCUCUGAAUCUACUAUGCCACACUGUUGUCACCAGCGUACAAUAAUAAUGUACCCGUAUCGGUAAAUACGGUUUCAGGAUAAGAGUUACUUGAACCCAAGCCCUCUUAAGGUAACCACCUAACCCUCUUUAAGACCAUUUAUAACUCCUUUAAAAUCAUGUAUUUUCUGAAAACGUAUUCUAAAAAACAUACUCUGAAAUCUCUUAUUUGUUAUGGCAUACAUACAUAUGGUAUAGUCAUACCAUUGACUUUCAAGUCACAUCGAUAAGCCAUUAAUAACAUGUUAUAAACUAUAUUUUCAAAACAUAAGCUUGGGACCACCAUAUCAAUAUAUCAAUUCAAAGAAAACUCUUUCCAAACCUUAUGUAAACAUAUGCAAGGAACUCUCUUUGUCAAGUAUUUCAAUAAUACAAGGUGGUCAUGUCAAAUUUCUCAAUCACAUGCAACUCUUUCUAAAUUAAAACAAGGAUAUAAUUAUAUGCAAAAUCUCCCUUUCGUCAUAUAUAUAUCAUUCUCAAACACUAUAGUAUUGAGAAAACUAUUUUCAAACCAUAAAUCAUGCAUUCCAAAUCAUUCACAUUAAGAUCAUAAACUUGAAUUUAUCAUAAGAUAGGGACUUCAUAAUCUUUCCUCUCAAAAAAAUCUUAAAUCUCAGUUUCAUACAUAUACAUAUACCUGUAAAUCAAUUUAAGGGAAUAAGGCCUAAAUGCCAAAACAACAAUAUCAUUAAACAUGCAUAAAACAUACAAAACUCAUGGAUUCCAAAAUCUCUUUAACAAAUUCAUGUUUGAUAAUCUUUAAAUCAUGAUUGAGUGUUUUCAAAAAGCCCAUGUAGUUUUAGGAUAAACCCCACGUACCUCUUUUUCAAAAAAUAAUGGAUGAUUCUUGAAGCUUACGGAAUGGGGAUUCCAAAUCGCUAAUUAUCUUCUAAAACCCAUGGUUGAAUCUUGAGUUAUUUCGGAUUCUUGCUUGAAACUAUUGGGGGAGUUCUUGAUGAAUUUUGGUGAAAUAUGUGUAAUGUGGUUAUUUUGGAGCUUAAUCCCGUGUUUAAGAAGUUAUAGGGUUUGGAAAAUACCCAAAUACCCUUAAUAUCUCGGGGAAACUGAAUAAUUGGCCUGGGGCGCCGGGCGAGACGCUGCCCUGCCUGGACCCCCGGUCUAAGCAAGGAGCCGCCUUAUGUAUCGCGGGGUUACCCCAAGCCAGGCUCCAGGAAAGGCUUAGUGGGCCAAAUGCCUUUAUCCACUGGUUUGCAACCCCAAAUAUUGCCUUAUGCUCGUCUAAAAAUUCUAAAAAUCACUCGAGACAUACCCUUGACUUCCCUGAUCAUAACACAACUUGAAAAUUAGAAAACGGAGGUCGGGAUGCUCGAGAAUAAAUUCCCCGAAGAUUGAAAGCUAAAAAUGAUUCUAAACCCCCUUUUACACUUAGAAAAUUUUCAAGCUUUUAACUCAACAAGUAUGCUACUACGAUAUGACACAUGAAGGAUUUUACGGGGCGUAUGAACGAUUUCAAGCAUACUAAGGCAUAGGACAAGAAAUAAGAAAAAUAUUGUACCUUCUAUUUUGUCACUUGCUGGAUCAAAUAAGUUUGGGUAUCUAUCUCUUAUGUCAUCUUGUGAUUUCCAAGUUGCUUCUUCAACUUUCUGAUUCCUCCACAACACUUUAACUGGGGAUAUUUCUUUGUUUCUCAACAUCCAAACUUGGAGAUCCAAGAUCGCAAUAGGUGCCUCUUCACAUGUUAAUGAUUCUGACACUUUAAUCUCCUCAACAAGCAACACUAAAAAAUGGUCUCCAAUACAUUUCUUCAACAUAGACACAUGGAAAACUGCAUAGACAGAACCCAAACUUGCUAGAAACUUUAAAUCAUACACAACCCCACCAAUCCUUCUCACGAUCUGUUAUGGUCCUAUAUAACGAGGACUCAACUUAUAUUUCUUCCCGAAUCGCAUGACUCCCUUCAUAGGAGAGACCUUGAGAAACACCCAAUCACCAAUCUCAAAUUCUAAAUCUCUUCUCCUAACAUCGGCGUAGGACUUCUGACGACUCUGAGCUUUCUUAAGUCACUUAUAUGAUUUUCACAUUCUCCAUUCGCUGAUGAACAAGAUCAGGCCCAAACAACUGAGUAUCACCCACUUCAUACCAUCCUAUCGGUGAUCUAUAUCUUAUCCCAUACAAAGCUUCAAACAAAGCCAUCUUAAUACUGGUAUGGUAGCAGUUAUUAUAAGCAAACUCUAUCAAUGUCAAGUGAUCUACCCUACUACCUUUGAAAUCAAUCACACAAGCUCUCAACGUAUCUUCAAGGAUAUGAAUAGUAUAUUCGGCUUGCCCAUCUGUCUGAAGGUGGAAACUGUACUCAGGUUUACUUAGGUACCUAAACCCCUCUUAAAAGAUCUCCAAAACUGUGAAGAGAAUUGCAUACCACGGUCAGAUAUGAUGGACACAGGAGCUCCAUGCAAGUGGACUAUCUCCUCAAUAUAUAACUUGGCAUAAUCAUCUCUAGAAUAGUUAGUUCUAACAGGCAGAAAGUGGGCUGACUUAGUCAGUCGGUCAACGAUUACCCAAAUGGAAUCAUACAGGUUUUGGGACCUCAGAAGUCCCGUAAUAAAAUCCAUAUUGAUCAUUUCCCACUCCAUAAAGGCAAAGAUAUCUCAUGUGAAGUUCCACCUAGCCUCAUAUGUUCCAUUUUAACUAUUUGACAUUUCAAACACUUGGCAACAUAGUUUGCCAUAUCACGCUUCAUAUUUUUCCACCAAUAAAUGGUUUUCAAAUCAUGAUACAUCUUGGUAGAGCCUUGGUGAACAACAUGCCUCGAAGUGUAAGCUUCAUCAAGGAUUCUCUUCCUCUGACCAUCUACAUCUGGAAAACACAAACUAUCAUGAUACCGCAAAAUACCAUCACCACCAAUUUCAAAGGACAUCACCUUCUGUUUACCCACAUCUUUCUUAAUCUAUAUCAAGAUGGGAUCUGUGACUUACUUCUCUUUAACUUCAGCACCAAGGGAUGAUUUAGCCAUCUCAUGAAAAACCACCCAUCCAUCUUUAGAGUAUAAGAGUCGCACCCCAAGAUUUAUAAGUCAGUGAAUAUCCUUUACCAUCUCUCUUUUUCCUUCUUCAAUAUGAGAAAGGUUACCCAUUGACAACCUGCUAAGGGCGUCGGCUACCAUAUUUUCUUACCCGGUGGUAGGGUAGGCUCAUGUCAUAAUCCUUUAGCAAUUACAUCCAGCGCCUUUGCCUAAGGUUCAAUUCUUUCUACAAGAAAACAUACUGUAAACUCUUAUGGUCAGUGAAAUAUCAACAUACACCCCAUAUAGAUAAUACCUCCAGAUCUAAGCGCAAACACCACAACAUAUAACUCUAAUUCAUGGGUAGGGUAAUUGCGCUCAUUCACUUUAAACUACCUAGAUGCAUAAGCCACCACCCUACCAUGCUUAAUUAGAACACACCCAACUCCCACUCGGGAUGCAUCACAAUACACAACAAAACCUUCUGUACCUUCUGGGAUAUUUAGAAUAGGUGUAGUAGUCAAUUUGUCUUUCAACUUCUCAAAACUAUUCUCACAUGAAUCAGACCACACAAAUUUCACCUUUUUUUGAGUCAACUUAGUAAGUGGAGAAGCUAUGGAAGAAAAACUCUCUACGAAUCUUCUAUAAUACCCUGCCAAACCUAAGAAGCUUCGAAUGUCAGUUGGAGUCAAGGGUUUGGGCCAUUUUCUCAUUGCCUAAACCUUUUCGGGAUCCACUUUAAUCCCAUCACUAGACACAAUAUGCCCCAAGAAAUCAAUAACACUUAGCUAGAAUUCUCAUUUAGUGAAUUUUGCAUACAACUUAUGAUCUCUGAUAGUCUGAAGAAUAAUUUUGAGGUGAUUGACAUGGUCCUCCUUACUCUUAGAAUAAAACAAGAUGUCAUCAAUGGAUACUAUGACAAAGAGAUCUAGAAACUGAUGAAAGACCCUAUUCAUUAGAUCCAUGAAGGCUGCAAGGGUGUUAGUCAACCCGAAGGACAUGACUCAUAAUUCAUAAUGACCGUAUCUGGUUUGGAAAGCUGUUUUGGGAAUAUUUAAAUCCCUAACCUUCAACUGAUGAUAUCCCGAAUGAAGGUCUAUCAUUGAAAAACAUUUAGCACCCUGAAGUUAGUCAAGAAGAUCAUCAAUCCUAGGAAAAGGAUAUUUGUUUUUAAUCGUGACCUUAUUCAACUGGCAGUAAUCUAUGCACAUACGAAGGUAUCCAUCUUUCUUUCAUAUGAAGAGUACAGGUGCACCCCAGGGAGAAAUACUAGGAUGGAUAAAACAUUAGAAAAAGUGACCCUUGGGGUCUCACAAUUUAGUAUGGCAUAACAUGAAUGGAGCUAAUCUAUUCCUAAGAUAGCAUCAAAGUCAACCAUCUCAAGAUCUAUAAGGUCUUCCAUAGUAUCCCAUCCACAAACAGUCACAACACAAUCCCUAUACACCGUUCUAGCUAUAAAAGAAUCUCCCACCUGAGUGGAAAUAGAAAAAGGUUCAGCGAUCAAAUUGGGAUCUAACCUAAAACCAACAAUCACGUAAAGGGUCACUUAGGAUAAGGUAGACCAGGGAUUAAGUAAUAUAUAAGCAUCACGAGUAAAGAUUUACAAUGUACUGAUAACUACAUCUAUUGAGGCGUCUGCCUCCUGGCGGUUGGUCAAGGCAUACAACAGGAUGCGGCCAUUUCUGGUAGCUAAAAUGGCACUCUUCUGAGUUAGUGGUGGUGCAGAAGAAUUUGCCUGUGACUUGGCUCCUCUAAUAUUACUCCUUGUUUCCAGACAGUCUCUCUGGAAAUAGCUUGGCUGGCAACAUGAACAAAACACCAAUGCGUCAAACUGACAUCUCCCUAGAUGAUUCCUCUUGUAUCUCCCACAGCGUAGGUAGGACCAAGAGGUCUGGGCUAUACUUCCCUGUGAUUGCGCACCCUGCAUCCUCGGUCCCUAACUAGACUAAAAAUUCUGGGUGCACUAUUUAGCUGGGGGUUAGGACACCGGAGUACUAGCUGCAGAAUAUGCAUUACCCUAAUUCUUUCUCUUUUGCAAUUUGUUACCCCAAUUACCGCUCUGUUGCUGUGCUGUUUUGGCUCUUUUUGCCUUCCUAUCCUUCUCCCUAGAUUCAGCGAUAUUCUUUUUCUUCUCCUCAACUUACUGCACAUGGACUGAUAGCCUAGAAAAAUCUAUGUCCCGGUUCAACAUUACUCCCUGGCAUUCAAGAACUAAGUCAUCUAAAAGGCUGGAAGCAAAUUUCCUUAUUCAGUCCCUCAUAUUUCCAGUCAUUUUAGAAGCAUAACGGGCUAAUUGGUUGAACUUUAGAGUGUACUCCUGGACAGUUAUCUUUCCUUGCUUUAGGUUCAAGAAUUCUUCAACUUUGGCUUCACUCAACUCUAGAGGAAAGAACUAAUCAAUAAAAGCUUCCAUGAACUUGCCCAAACUGUGGGCUCAACACUCUCACCCUUCGCAUUCUCCCACUUAUUAUACCAUUGGUUUGCUACAUCCGUAAGCUGGUACACUGCUAAUUCAACCCCUUCCACCUGGUCUACAUGUUUCACUCUAAAAAUCUUCUCCAUUUUGUCCAAAAACUCCUAUGGAUCCUCUUCUACCUUUGUGCCAGAAAAUUUGGACUGGUUCAUUCUCAUGAACUGACCCACCCUAGUAGCCUCUAAAGUAACAGAUGCAGACCUAGUAUCCUCUGACCUCUGAGUCUGUGCGACUACCAGAUAUGCAAGCAUGUGAAUAGACUGCAGGAAUUGUGCAUUAGAUACCUUCCUCUCGUGAGGCUGAGUGCAGUUAGUCCCUAUCUGGGGAGCUCUAGGUUCCCUAGGUAGGCUGGACUGAGUAGGUGGGACUCCCAGAGUUGCAUCAAUCUCCAGAUUCUGAGCUCUAUUUUGGGUCUUCAUCCCUUUAGAGGAAUGGACCCUAUCUGUCUCUGCAUUUUGAUCGAUAGUAAGACGGGGAGGCAUGAUUGUUUUUUUGAAACACAAGAGACCAUUGAUUAGGGGACAAUUGAUACUUUGAAGCACGAACUAAAUGACAAAUAAAAUAAACAUUCCUAAACACCUAGUAGCCUCUGAAUUAUAAGUGUGGCGCUCUACGCACCCAUACAUAAGACUCUACCCGACUCAAUUUCGCAAAGACCCUGAGACCAUGAACCGUGCUUUGAUACAAAGUUUGUGAUGACCUGAACUAGGGCCUGGCCGUGAUAGACAUCCCAAACCAUGAAGGUCUGGACAUCCAGCUCUAUAUGGUAGUCAUGUACAACAUUUAUAUAAUAAAAGAAUAUACGAAACUAUGAUCUAAUACGGGAAUAUGGUAAUACUCUGGAUUAUAUUAAACAAUAAGGAAUGAAAUCUGAAUUCAGCUAAACAAUAUCUGGAACAGUCUACAAAAUCUAUACUAUAUAAUAAUCUGACAACUAUCGGAAAAUUGGGAUAAGGCACCCAGUAGAAGAAAACUGUAAUAGAUGAAAUAAUCUUAAAGGAUAGGCCUUCUGGAAUAGAGAAGGCUCACAACUAUAUAAUCUAAUCUGCUAUCUAAAUUAUCUACUACUUAUCUGGAUCCCUAGACUGAGCCUUAGAACUUGAGAGGUGGGGGAGGGGGGUUAUACAGAUGUACUAGUACGCAGAGCAAAUCCAAAAUAAUAAAUUAUAUUAAACAUAUAAGAGAGAAAUUUAAAAUAGUUCAUAAACAUAUCAUAUAGUAAGAAACCACAAGGGCGUUAUAAAAGACUCUGUGAAAACAUCUAAACUCUGUGAAACUCUUUGUAUUACUUCUGCGCUAGGUGGUAUACCCUCAAAAUCUAAAAUUCCACGGGCUAUAUGGAAACUUCCGUUAUGUCAAUAGCCAAUCCCCUAACCCAAGUAUGCCACAAAGGUCGGAGUCUCUGAAUCUACUAUGCCACUCGAUCGUCGCCAGCGUAUAAUAAUAAUCUACCCGUAUCGGCAACUAUGGUUUCAGGAUAAGAGUUACUUGAACCCAAGCCCUCUUCAGGUAACCACGUAACCCUCUUUAAGCCCAUUUUUAACUCCUUUAAAAUCAUGCAUUUUCUAAAAACGUAUUCUAAAAACAUACUCUGAAAUCUCUUAUGUUAUGGCAUACAUACUUGUGGUAUCAUCAUACCAUUGACUUGCAAGUCAUAUCUCUGAGCAAUUAAUAAUAUAUUAAAAUCUCGGUUUUUAAAACAUAAGCUUGGGACCACCAUAUCAAUAUAUCAAUUCAAAGAAAACUCUUUCUUAAACCUCAUGUAAACACAUGCAAGGAACUCUCUUUGUCAAGCAUUUUAAUAAUACAAGGUGGUCAGUCAAAUUUCUCAGUCACAUGUAACUCUUUCUCAUUUAAAAUAAGGAUAUAAUUAUAUCUAGAAGCUCUCUCUCGUCAUCUCUAAAUCUUGGUCAACCACUAUGGUAUUGAGAAAACUAUUUUCAAACCAUAAAUCAUGCAUUGCAAAUCAUUAACAUUAUGAUCAUAAACUUGAAUUUAUUACAAGAGAGGAACUUCAUAAUCCUUGCUCUUAAACAAAAUCUUAAAUCUCAAUUUCAUUCAUAUACAUAUACAUGUAAAUCAAUUUAAGCGGAUAACGCCUAAAGGCUAAAACAACAAUAUCAUUAAACAUAUGUAAAAUAUAAUAAAAUUAUGGAUUUUGAAACCCCUAUAACAAAUUCAUUCUUGAUAAUCUUUAAGUGUUUUCAACAAGCCCAUUUAGUUUUAGGAUAAACCACACGUACCUCUAUUUUGAAAAAUAAUGGAUGAUUCUUGAAGCUUACGAUUUGGGGAUUCCAAAUCUCUAAUUAUCUUCUAAAACCCACGGUUGAAUCUUAAGUUAUUUGGGAUUCUUGCUUGAAACCCUUGGGGAACUUCUUGAAGAAUUUUUGAGAAAAUAUGUGUAAUGUGGUUAUUUGGGAGCUUAAUCCAUGUUUAAGAUGUUAUAGGGAUUGGAAAAUACCUAAAAUACCCUCAAUAUCUCAGGGAAACUGAAUAAUUGGCCUGGGGCGCCAGGCGAGGUACCGCCCUGCCUGGACCCUUGCUCUAAGCAAGGCACCACCUUGCCUAUCGCAAGGUUCCCCCAGGCAAGGUUCCAGGCAAGGCGUCGCGCGCUAAACGCCUUUAGCCACUGGUUCACAACCCUAAACAUAGCCUUACGCUUGUCUAAAAAUUGAAAAACUCACCCGAGACGUACCCUUGACUUCCCCGAUCAUAAUGCAACUUGAAAAUUGGAAAAUGGAGGCCGGGAAGGUCGAGAACAAAGCCCCCAAAGAUUGAAAGACAAAACUGAUUCUAAGUCCCCUUUUACACUUAGAUAAUUUUAAAGCUCUUAACUAAACAACCUUGCUACUACAAUAUAACACAUGAAGGAUUUUACGGGGCGUUACAAGGCUAAAAGGUGUUCAGGAAUGUCUCUAUUUCUUCAUGAUCUAGUUCGUGCUAUGGAGUCGUUCCUUUUUUAUACUCUAAUUCAUGCUAUGGUGUCUCCCAUAUGAUAGAAAAGUUAUCCUAAUUCUUUUCUUACUGUGGUGUUCCUAGAUAAUGCUGUCAGAUUUAAUAGCAGAAAUUUCAAAAGUGACAUAAAGGGCUUGAGAGGAUCUCCCUAGUGUGUCAUAAGUCCCUCAAGUUUAAAUUUGUGUCCUCAUUCUUAUGAGGCAUUCAGUUAAGACAAGAGUAAGAUGUGUAUUCUUAGGUCAUUGAAUAUUGUGUGUCAAAUUUCCAUCUCUUGUGAACUUGUUAUCGUUGUGUGUUUUUUGCUUAUGAUGGAGUCAGUAACGAAGUGAUGUAUCCUUAUGUGUUCGGUUAGUAGAAGGUGGAGAAGGAUUUAUUGGUUAAGGUAAAUUGUUGUUUCUUAAAGUAUGAAAAGAGUUGUUGAUAGUAUUUUUUGUGCUAGAAAGGUAUAGGUUAUUGGUAAAGUACUUAGUGGAUAAGUGUUGUUAAUUUAGAGCUCCCUGAGGCUGCAAAAGGGAGUUUAGUUGUAACUUAUAGAGCUGUGAAUGAAUUUUAGGUGUAUAGAUAGGUAAAUACUAAUGAUGUGUAGAAGGAGGAUGCAUUAAUGGAUUGUAAAUAAGAUAGGCCAUAUGAUUAUGGCCGAAUAUUGUUGUUAUGAAAUUCUAGUGGGCUAAUGUUUCUUGAUGUCUUAUUCUAUAACUUCCUAGUGAGAAUUAUAUAUAAGGUGGGUUAUUAUAUAAGAUUAACGUUUACUAUGUCUAUUAUAUGACUUUACCCCUUGACCUUCUUUCCUUUAGUGGUUAUAAACUAGUAAUUCAUAUGAGAAGGUCUAAAGUGGAUAUUGAGCUAUAAUAGUGAUGUCAUGGAGGGGAAUGUGAUUAUUGGUAGUAGUUAAAUGAAAUGAGUAUUUGGAGUUGUUUUCCCAAUUUUAUGGACUGGUACAUUAUGAUGCAUGCUUUGCUUUAUUAGUGGUAGAUGGUUGAUGCUAGACUAUAUGAUUGGACUCUAGAUGUAGAAUGUGGUGGUAAGAAUAGUAUCUUAAGAUUAAUGAAGUAUGUUUUACGGGGAUGAAUUUGUAGGCUUGAAGUGAUUUGCUAAAGAGCCUAGGGUGAUAAUUGAUGAAAGAUUUAAGUGGUAAUUGUGAGGUAUAUGUGUAUAUGAGAAAUAGUGUUAAAAUGAUUACUUGUGUGAGUCAUUAAGUGGAUAAGGGCGUAAAUAUAUAAGAAUAAGUUUCCCCCCAACCCCCCGGUAGUCUGAUGUAAGGUAAGAUUUAAUGAUAUGAAUUAUGAGAUUAACGAUCAUAUGUUUGAAGGUUAACUAGUGAAGAGUGGAGUUUUAUAUGAUAAGAAGCGAGGAAGUGUAUGCUUAGGAGACUGCAUGUUGUAGGUUGAUGACAGUAGGGGAUAUCAAUAGUUAAGAGUAGCGUUCUUGGAAAUCAAUAACUUUAGAGAUUACUUAUAAAGGGGAAGUUUAGCUUUUAUGUAUAUAUGUGUUUUACAUACCUGGGUUGUGUUCUAAAUUGUAGUAUGGAAGAGUCUGGUGAGUUGUUGUACGGUAUUCGUUAGAGUUGAAUUAAGGAAAUACUGGUAGAUCAUAUGAGCCUUGGGUAUGAUUUUACAAAGUUUGUUAAGUUGUAAGUUAGUUGAUUAGAGGUGUAAUGAGAGUAUUCCAAGGAGUUAAAGAUAGAGUGUUAAGUGUUUAGAAGUGGGGAUGUCUAUGCCUAUAAUGAUAUUAGUCAUGAAGUGAUGACUUAAGGGUUAGAAGAAGUUGAUUAGUAUCUCUGGGGGAUGUCCCAAAAGGAAUGUAGUGCCUUUAUGUUAAAUUAUUGAGAGGAGUUGUAUUCAUGUACAUAUUGAUUUCCCUUGGUGAUACUGAGUGUGAAUACGUACUUUCAUGGGAGUGGGGGUUGUAGAGUGAUGGCUAUAAUGGUUAACGAAAGUUAAGAGUAGCAUCUACAGAAAAGCAAGGCCUUCGGGGUAUAUAUCAUUAGGGUGAGUCAGAGUUAAAGUAUAUGGUGAUGUCUCUUUUAUGAUAAGAGUUAUGACUUUAAUCUAAGGGGGAGAUAAGGAAUUAGGUUAGUUCCUGAAAUUUUCUCACUGUGGCGAGUUGGGGAAGAGUCAUGAUGAACCUACUCCUAUUCAAGCAUGGUCCUUUUUCUUCAAUCUAAGAGGUCACUCUUCUAAUGCCUUACGUUAUGUAUCCAAUUCCUACCUAUGUCUAAGGUUUAAGCACUCGAUUUAAUUCAUGACAUGUUUUGACUUCUAAACUAGAAGAAAUAAUGUGCCUCAGCGAUCCAAAAUUCUAAGCAUCCAUACUCUAUGUGACGUUGCUCAUGACUGAUAAAUCUGUGUUCCAAAUCAUGAUUGGUUCUAAGGAACAAUGUUUUUCGUAUGUUGACGUUUCAUUUUAUGUUGGGAUAAACCAAAAUGAUAAAGCUGUGCGAACUCAUGACUAAUUUAGUUUUGAAAAUGGUAAGUGAUAGUUCUAUGUAGAAGUCUUUCCAAAAAUUGUCGACUUCAUGAACUCCACACUCAUGUUAUAAGACCCAUGAUGUAAGCUCUCAUGUUUUUCACUAUGGUUGUUCUAAGAACUCAUGCUAUGUGGAAAUUGUGCCAAAAGGACUCUUCACUUGUGAUCCAAAUACUUGAUAUAUGUAAUACUUUGUGCUUGUACUGUAUCUUCAUGUCCCACCUUGAGUAUGGAAAUCAGUAUAUGUUAUGACCGAAUAGUGUUACUCCCUUUCAUGAUGCUCUUGCUCGGGUCCUUUAAUGACCCUCUAUAUUCUAGUAUGAUGGUGGUUGUGGAAGCGUAUAAGUGUGUUAGGUGGGGGAGUAGAUGUUCUUAAAGGUGAAGAUUUUGAUGUAUUUGUCGAGCUAAGGUUAUAGCUGAAGGGAAAAGAAGGAGAUGAAUUUUGUUGUGUGAAAUAGCCAUGAAGGAGAAAUGUGGCGUAAAUAGUUUUGAGAGUGUUUGAAAUUGCUGGUCUUAGUAGGGAGAUCCAUGUAGUGGUUGUAAUAAUUAUUAGGCUUGAAUGUUCUGAAUGAUGAAAACACAAACCUAUGUACCAUGUGGUUAGUAUUCUUUGAAUUAAGACUUGAGAUUGUUGGAUUACAAUGAUGAGAUGAGGUGAUUUCUUAAUUUGAUGUAGGGUGCAGGACCCAUAGUUUAAGUUAGCUCCUCUUUCCUCUACGUAAGGCUUGAACAUAGAAGUAUUAUACGGAUGGACACAAAUUCUUAUGGGUAGAUGCAUUACGGGAGAAUUGUAAGUUAGGGAUUAUGAAGUAUGUUGAUUAAUGUCAGAGUAUAGAUAAGAAGUGUUGCUAAGUUUAAGUCUUUUAGCUAUAUUUUUUAAGAUGGAGAAUGCUAAUACUCAUGUGUUCCACGAGAAGCUCAUAUCAUGUCUUGUAUUGAUCUUAAUCAGGAAGAGGACUCUUAGAAAAAGUUAUGUUUUGCAAUGUUUUGAUCAUGUGCCAUAAAACACAUGCCAAGAUCAUGUCGAUGUCAAGUUUUGUUGUCUCAGGUUUCGUGCUUACUCGUUUCCCAAGGGGUUAUCAUGAAGAUCGUGUGAUACCUUUUCAUAUUUUUGUCGAGGAAAAAUAUUCAAAUCAAUGUUAUGUUUUUUAUUUUACACUCUUAGAGCUUCAAAAUAUCCCAACCCAUCAUUUGGGGACAAAUGAUCCCAAGGGGGAGAUAAAGCAACACCCCGUACUUUUGGGAUAGAAUCUAGACCGUCGUUCCUAUGCAUAUAGACCUGAACUAGAUAACUCCAUGUUAAUAAAUGUGUGGUUAUCAAUCCUAUAGUUUGGGAAUACCUUUGAAUAUGAAUUGAGGUCACAAAAAUCCCAUAAAUCUAAGACGAGUUGAAAACAUUUCCAGUGAUUAAGUUUCAGUGGACGUUUGAACUUGGGUCAACUUCCAUCAAUCAUAACUUCUUUUAUAUAUCGAAUUAGAGUGCCUAUUAUAUAUAAAAUGAAAGUUCAUCGAAGUAGAUUUCCAACAAUACCAAUUUCUCCAAAAUACGAUACCCGAGAGAAAAGUUACAGCCAUUUUUAUGCGAGAGCUAGUAGCUGCGCGCGAUUAGCAUGCGACGCACGCUCCGUCGCACGCACCUAAUUUUCAUGUUCUGUUUUCGAGUUUUUAAUGCUAAUUUGGAUCUUUACCUCACCCAAGAUCUGUCCAUCACACAAGAUUCAUGCCUCAAAAGAAGAAUACACUCCGUAAUUUAAUUUUUCCUCUCAAAUUAAAACCCUAAAUCCUUUCCCUCAUGAUCAAGAAUCAUUAUCUUAAGUUCAAGAUUCCAAAAAAAAGGGUUAAGAUCUAGGUUUCAUCUAUCAACAUCUAGGUUCCAUCUUUCAACUCUUUUAGUCUAAGGUACGUGGGGUUUAUCCUAAAAACUACAUGGGCUUGUAAACAUUAGAGCAUGAUUUAAAGAUUAUUAAGCAUGAUCUUUAAAGGAGUUUUGGAAUCUAUUUUUAAAUUAUGUAUUCCGAAUGUUUCAAUGUUACUAUUACUUUGGCCUUGUGGGUUUUUUUCCUAAAUUAAUUUACAUGCAUAUGUAUAUGUAUGAAAAUUGAGAUUUGAGAUUGAUUGAGAGCACAAAUUAUGAAUUCCCUCUCGUGUAUUGAAUUAAAGUUUAUGAUUUUGUCAGAAAAGAGUUGAAAUGCAUGUUUUGUGAUGUGAAAGUAGUUUUCUCAAUAUCAUAGUAUUUGAACAUGAUUUAGAGAUUAUGAGAGGGUGUUUCUUGAGAUAUCUAUGUUUUGUGUUAAAGAGAAAGAAUUCCAUGAAAUUAAGAAUUUGGACAUGACCACCUUAGUUUAUUGAGUCGUUGAUAAAGAGAAUUGCUUGCAUGGCUUCACAAGAAUUUUAAAGAAUGAGUUUCUUGAAAAGAAUUGUUGAUAUGGUGGUCUUGAAUACCAUGAUUUGAGAAUAGAGACAUAAUUUGCUAUAAAUGGCUCGGAGAAUGUGACUUGCAAGUCAAUGGUAUGACGAUACCAUGUAAAUAUACGUCAUAACAGAACUAGAGUCUUCAGAGUUUGACUUUUAAAGAUUGCAUGUUGUAAAGAAUUAAAAAUGGUCUUAAACAGGGUUAGGAGGUUACCCGAAGAGGGCACAAGUCAAUCGACUCAUAGCCUAAAAUUAUGUUUUGCCGAUACGUGUAUGUUACUUUUGUACGCUGGCGAUGGCCCUGUAGCGUAUUAUAGAUUUAGAGACUCCGACCCUUGCGGCAAACUUGGGAUGGGGUAUUGGCUGCCGAUUUAAGGCCAGAUUCUAUAUAGCCCUUAGAAUUAUAGAAUUGUAGGGUAUACCACCUAGGACAGAUGUAAAACAAAGAGUAUGUCAUAGAGUUCAGAUGGUUUUAUAAAGUCUUUUUACCACGCCCACGUGAUUUUUACUGUGUGACAUAUUUAUAAACCCUUUUUAAAUUACUCUCAUAUAUGUUGAAUAUCAAAUAUUAUUUUGGGUUUGCUCUUCGUACCAGUACAACUGUAUUGACCCCCUACAUCUCAAGGUCUGAGGCUCAAUCUAGCAGUCCAUCUAAGGAGUAGAUUUUUCCAGACAGAAGUGCAGAGUUCAGUUGGUGAGCCUUCUAUGUUUUCAGAAGGCUUAAUUUCAGACAUUUAUUUAUGGUUUUUGUCUACUGGGGUCCUUGUCCCAGUUUUCAGACAUCUUUGUUUUAUAUGUGUUAGAGAUUUUGCAGACGGAGUCAGAUAUUAUUUUAGAUGUUGUUGAAUUGCAGUUUUUAACAUUUUGUUGAUUUCAGAGCAUGAUCAUGGUCCCAUACUCAGUUAUAUUUCCCCAUUUCUUUUCUGUAUAUGAAUGGUGUAUGUGAUUACAAGUUAGAUGGGCUUCUGGGCAUUCAUGGUUAGGAUUGGUCAUCACGACUAGGACCUUGGUUCAGGUCGUGACAUUGUGAAAGAUUUCUCGAGUGCUCAAAUUAUUAAUGCUUUUUUGUCGGAGAGGAUCUAGAGUUUUCUAUCAAAAAAGAGUUCUUCAACCCGUAGUUCGACUCCCUCAAAUAGAUGAAUUUCAGAUUCACUGUGAAAUUGAGCGCACUAGUUGUUAAGAUUUUAAAAAAUAAGAUUGACGGGUCAAACCCCUAAUUCUAAUAAGUCGUCCAUGAGACUUCUAUAAUAAUGCAAGUCUACAAGCCUCUUAUAAUGAAAAUAAAUCUUAAAUAAGAUUUUUGCUCUAUUAUCUGCUUUUAUACAGGAAAUUUAUUUGAUGAAAGAACUAGUUUGAUUAUGGAAACUCCUUGAGAGAACCUGAAUUGUAAGUUAACUAAUGUAAUGUUGGAGGAAAGUUUCAUAACCAGUAACAGCUAUGUCUAGUUCAAUCCAAUAUUGUUUUUAGAAUUAUACUUAUUGUACGUUGUGGAUUAAGACGCAUUCAUUCGAUCCGCUUAUAAAUACAUUGAAGAAUCAUUUUCACUUCUUGACUUGAUUAAUGGUAAAGUGAUCGAUCAUUUAUUAAUGAUAUUAAUACUAGUUUUUACAGAAUUUAACGACCCAAGCUGAGGCCCUGGCCAUGAAUCCCAAACCAUGAAGGCUCAAGAGACCCUUCGCAUAUUAUCAUAAGGAUAAUUCAUACCAAUGGUAAUGUGGAAGGUUAACUGAAACAUGAAAAUUUUUCAUAAUAAAAAUUAGUAAAUCAAGACAUGAUUCUAUGAAAAUCCAAAUCUAGUCUAACCAGUUUAUGAAGCUUCCACUAAAACAAUAAUCUGUCUAUGCCGGGACAAAGCCCCAUGUCAGAUCAUGAACUUAAAAGAAAUCAACAUAUCGAUAAAGCGCCUUACGAAGUAAUGCAAGCUCACCAACUCUGAAUGUCUAAAAGAAAUCUACUGUUAAGCUAGACUACGGGACUGUGUCUCAGAACCUACAUUAUGAGACCAUGCAGCCACCGCGAGGACGGUCAAUACUUGAAAUGUAUUGUCACAUAGAAAGGCCAAAAGAAAUAACUUUCAAAAUAUCAUAAUAGUCAAAACAUCAUAAAAAUCAUAACAUGGGGUCCUAUGACAUGAAAAUAGUCUGAAAACAUGUAAUGCAGUCCAAAACUGUUUUGUAAACAACAUAAUGUUAUUCUUUAGUUCUGAGCUAGGCGGCAUACCCAACAGGAUCUGAAAAAUCCCAAGGGUUAUGUAGAGUUCGACAUUAACUUGUCGUCCAUUCCGCUAAACUGAGUUUACUUCAAAGAUUGGAUAUAGCAAUGAUAAUUCAUAUUUCAGGACAAAAUCAAUCCCAUACUAGCAAAAAAUAGUUUCAAAAUAUGAAUUAUCUAAACUCGUGCCUUCUUGGUUAGCCACCUAAUUCUCUUUAAGCCCAUAUUUUAACCUCUUAAAAUAUCCAUACUUCCUAAAAACAUGGUCUAAAGUCUGAAAAGUUUAUAGUCUAGUUUGGUCUAUGUAUUUCAUGACAUUUUUCUUAUUUGGUAAAGUCAUACCAAGAAUUUCAAGCCGUAUAAGCCAUAUUAUAUCAUGUCAUAUCAUAUCAUAGCCCUUUUUAUUCAAAAUAUUGUUAUUUAACCACCGCAAGGACUCAAACGUCAUAAGAGAGUCCUCUUUCAAAACUAUUAUGAAAACGUAAGUAAAAAUGUUUUUCUUUCAAAGCUUAACUCUAAAGGUGGUCAUCUCUUUCAUAAACACGUAGUAAAACUCUUCGAGUAAUCAUGGUGGUUUAGUUAAGCUUUCCCAUUCAUGAAAUUUUUUAAUGCUUUUAAGAGAAGGAUUACUCUUUUCAAUCAUAUUCAUUCAAUCACCAAUGAAAAGCAAGAACAACAUCAAAACAAAUGAUAAUUAUGAAAACAUUCGUCAUGCAAAAUUGGGCAAGAAAAUCAUUCUCAGCCUCAUCAUUUUUGUAACACCCCAUACUUUCGGGCUAGAAUCUAGACCGUCGUUCCCACGCGUAUAGACCCGAACUAGAUAAUUCCUUAUUCAUAUAUGUGUUUUUAUCAAUCCUAUUGUGUGGUAAUACCCUUGAAUAUGAAUUGGGGUCACAAAAAUCCCCCAACUCUAAGACGAGUUGAAAACAUUUCUAGCGAUUAAAUUUAUGUGGACGUUUAAACUUAGAUCAAUAUCCAUUGACCAUAACAUCUAUUAUAUAUCGAAAUAGAAGGCCUACUAUAUAUCAAAUAAAAGGUCUUUGAAGUAUCUUUCCAACGAUACCAAUUUCACCAAAAUAUGAUACCCGCGCGAAAUAUUACACACAUUUUCGUGAGAGAGGCAGUAGCUGCACGCGAUUAGCGUGCAACGCACGCUCCUUCGCAUGCACCUAAUUUUCAGGUUUUGUUGUUACAUUUUUAAGGGCAGUUUGGACCUUUACCUCCCCAAAGGUCUGUCCAUAACAUAAGAUUCAUGCCCCAAAAGCAGAAUACACUCCGUCAUUCAAUUUUUCCUCUCAAAUUAAAAUCCUAAAUCCUUUCCCUUAAGAUCAAGAAUCAAGACCAUAAGUUCAAGACUCCAAGAGAAAAGGGUCAAGAUCCGGGUUCCAUCUAUCAAGAUCUAUGUCCCAUCUUUCAACUCUUAUAGUCAAAGGUAUGUGGGGUUUAUCCUAAAAACUACAUGGGCUUGUAAACAUUAGAGAAUGAUUUAGAGAUUAUUAAGGAUAAAUUUUAAAGGGGUUUUGGAAUCUAUAUUAAAUUCUAUAUUUCGAAUGUUUCAAUGUUACUAUUGCUUUGGCCUUGUGGUCUUUUAACCUAAAUUGAUUUACAUGUAUAUGUAUAUGUAUGAAAAUUGAGAUUUGAGAUUGUUUGAGAGUACAAAUUAUGAAUUCCCUCUCGUGUAUUGAAUUAAAGUUUAUGGUUUUGUCGGAAAAGAGUUGUAAUGCAUGUUUUGCGAUGUGAAAGUAGUUUUCUCAAUGUCAUAGUAUUUGAACAAGAUAUAAAGAUGAUGAGAGGGUGUUUCUUGAGAUAUCUAUGUUCUGUGUUAAAGAGAAAGAAUUUCUUGAAAUAAAGAAUUUUGACAUGACCACCUUAGUUUAUUGAGUCGUUGUUAAAUAAAAUUGCUUGCAUGUUUUAUCAUGAGUUUUAAAGAAUGAUUUUCUUGAAAAUAAUUGUUGAUAUGGUGGUCCAGAAUUCCAUGAUUAGAGAAUAGAGACAGAAUUUUCUUUAAAUGGCUCAAAGAAUGUGACUUGCAAGUCAAUAGUACGAUGAUACCAUUUAAAUAUAUUCCAUAAAAGAACUAGAGUCUUCAGAGUUUGAUUUUCAAAGAUUGCUUGUUGUAAAGAAUUAAAAAUGGUCUUAAAGAUGGUUAGGUGUUUUCCCGAAGAGGGCACGAGUCAAUAGACUCAUAGCCUACAACUGUGUUUUGCCGAUACGGGUAUGUUGCUUUUGUACGCUGGCGAUGGCCUAUGGCGUAGUACAAAUUCAGAGACUCUGACCCUUGCGGAAAACUUAGGUUGCAGGCUUGGCUGCUAAGUUAAGGGAAGAUUCUAUAUAGCCCAUGAAAUUACAGAAAUGUAGGGUAUACCACCUAGCGUAGAACUAAAACAAAGACUAAGUCACAGAGUUCAUCUGGUUUUAAAGAUUCUUUUAAUCACGCCCAUGUGACUUUUACUAUGUGACAUAUUUAUGAACCAUUUUUAAAUUGCUCUCAUAUAUGUUGAAUAUCAAAUAUAAUUUUGGGUUUGCUCCGCAAACCAGUACAACUCUAUUGACCCCCUACCUCUCAAGGUUUGAGGCUCAAUCUAGCAAUCCAGCUAAGCUGUAUAUCUUUCCAGAUAGAAGUGCAGAGUUCAUUUGGUGAGCCUUCUAUUUUUAAGAAGGCCUGUUUAAUUUUAGACAUUUAUUUAUGGUUUUGGUCUACUCGGGGCCUUCUCCCAGUUUUCUGACAUCUUUGUUUCCUAUAUAGUAGAUGUUUUGUAGACGGAGUCAGAUAUUAUUUUUGAUGUUGUUGAAUUGUAGUCUUUAAUAUUUUGUUGAUUUCAGAACAUAACCAUGAUCCCAUACUCAGUUAUAUUUCCACAUUUUAUUUCUCUAUAUGAUUGGUGUAUGUGAUUACAAGUUAGAUGGGUGUAUGGGCCUUCAUGGCUCGGAUUGCUGCCUCGUUUCGGGUCAUGAUAAUUUUCAUAAAUCACAAUUCCAUAUGCACACAUACAUAUAUAUAUAAACCCAUUAGAAUUCACAAUUGAGGUUGGAUGCAAAUCUUGUAAUUCAUGCUCUUGUUGGGAAUGAAAAUCUAAAAUCUUUAACUCUUAAAAGAGAUAAAAAAAAUUUUAUUAAUUCAAACCCCAUAAGAUUUAGGUCGUUCUAUGUGCCUCUUAUGGAGAGAAAUUAAAUCAAUGUUUACACUUGGAGCUUGGAAUCCUCAAACCAUAGGUAGUUUUCUACUCUCUUGCUCUUUGAAUGAUGAUCCGGUAUUUACUAAGGGGUAAAAGCAUUUUUAAGGCUCUAAACUUUUAUAUAUGUGAUUUGGAAUGACUGAGGGAUGUGAAAAGACUAUCAUGCCAUUAAAAUAUUACAAAAACGAAUCAAUUUUAACAUAUGGAAGGGGGUCGAGCCAUUGCAAACCUCAGGAUUCGUGAGGUAAACCCCAUCAAGAACCUUAGGGAUCGUGGGGAGAACCCUAUUGUGAACCUUAGGGUUCCUUGGGCAAACGCUACAGCAAACUUGAAGUUGUAGCUCAUUGUGGGGCUAUCCGUAAUGUGGGGAAACAUCGAAGUCCCCAAUUCGCGAUGUAAAGUUCUUUUCUAAUCAUAAAAAUACUCUCAUACCAUUCAAACCCACUAUUAGGUGGCUUAGUGUAAUACCUGGAAUAAUUCUAGCUCAGUCCAACACUUAGUACGUACUUGUAACACUUAGAAGCUGGAUUAAAAUAAAGUUAAGAGUUGAGGACAUAGAUAUUUUUAAGACCUUCCAACCCUAAGGAAUUUAAGUUGACCUACCGGACUCUGAGACAAUGAUUCUUGAGUUUAUUCAUGAUCAGGGGAGUUACGAAUAACUCCUCAAAAAGAUUUCAGAUUUUUAGACUAGGUUUGGAUUGUUUUUGGGUUGAAAUUUCAGUAGCUCACCGCGAUUUCAUCGCGUUGCGGUGAGUAUAGAACCAAGAGGUCCACUGCUUCACGGUGGAGUGAGAAAAGGCAAUUGUUAAUUUCCAGUAACUCACCGCAAUUGCACCGCGUCACAAGGGGUAUAGCGAUGAGGGGAUCACCGCAUCACGUUGAAGGGGUAUUUUUCAUGUUCUUAAUCAAUAAUUUGAAAUGUAUGUUUCACAACCUUCAUCCUAGUGUAUUAAGUGCUUAUUAGGUAAAUAAUGCACCUACAAAUCACAUAGAGCCAAGUUGAGCUAAGAUUCUUUAAUUCAUCCAAUGUUUGGUGUUUGAUUCAACAAGGUUCAACUUUGAAAGUGUAUAACUUUUAAUGUCUAUAGAAUUUUACAUCUCAAGACCUACCAAAUUUUAGAUAAUUGAGUUAGCUUUCCAAUAAUACCAAUUUUACCUAAAUCUGAUACCCGAGUCUAAAGUUAUGACAUUUUUAGUGUGAGGCAGUAAUCUGCCGCGAUUACACCACAUCGCGGUGGCCCUUCAAACAGCAGUAUGGUUUACGAAUUUUUGAUUAAAAUUAUGUAGGGGCAAUGGGGUCUUUUCCCACCUCAACCCAGAUCGUAAAAACAUGAUCUAAGGCUUCAAUUGGGGCAUUAUUUGCCUCUAUUCUCCAAUUUUUCCCUCAAGAACAAACCCUAUUCAAUCCCUUCAAGAAUCAUCAAUUCCAUCUUCUUCUCUUCAACAAAAACAUCAAGAAUUUAGGGUUCCUAACCCAAGAACUUCAAUAAUGUUUUCAAUAUCAUCUCCAAAGGGUUCAAAGUCCAUCUAGUACAUCAAAUCAAGCAUAAUAAGGUAUGUGGGGUUUGAACAAGGACAAAUCUUUCAUUAUUGUGCCAAAAAACUUGAAUUUCAUUAAAGAUUACAUGAUUUGCAAGUUGGGGUUUAUACCCAAAGUAUCUUGUUUUAAGUUUAUGAAAUUAUAUGUGAUUUAAGCCUUGAAUUGCAUGUUUAUCCUACCUAUUUAUGCUUUGAAUUGAGGAUUUAUAUCAUAAAUUGCACAUCCCUAUUGUGAAUUGAUAUUUUCAUGUGUUUCCAAGAUAAUUGUUGAGAAUUAAGCAUCUUUAUUAAAUUGUGAUCAUUUAAGUACAUAAGCUUUAAACCCAAGUAUGAAUUUUGAUAUUUAAUGAAGAGUAUAUUAUGAGCAUGCUUUGGUAAGUAAGUAUUUAGAUUUUAAAGAAACAUUGAUCUUCUAAGCCUAAGCUAAGAUCGGAAUCUAUAUUAUUUAUGAUUUAAAGAAAAGAGAAGCACAAUUGAUUUUCAUUAUUGACCCUUGUGCUGUUUUAAGGUGGAUUUUCCUAAAGUUUUUCAGCAAUAAGUAUAGGAGUAGUAUUUAUCACCGAGUUGGGUAUGAUUCCAAGGUCUUAUGCCCCAGAACUACUUGCCACCGUAGAUGAUGAUUUUCCCAUAGUGGGAUAAGAUAGUGAUCACUUAAGGUUCUAUUCCGAUGGCAAGGGUAGAACAACUCUCCCUAAUGUGGGCAAGACGUUGGACUCAAUGUCAGCUCACAUGGUUUAUGUCAGUUAGAAGGAACUCCCAAGUCUCAAAGUCCCUAAGUCCCAAAGUUCCAAAAUUUCCAAAGUUUCCAAAUUAUCCAAGUUUCAAAAGAAAAGAAUGAUAGAAAAUCUUUUAUAAGACUAAGUGUAAAGGCCCACAUAUUUAUUCAGAUUAUUUUUUACGAAAAGAUAAAAGUUAUAGUUUUCAGAUUUCACAUGCAAACGUGAGCUCUUUCUGUGCAACUCCAUAAUUCUCCAUACAUAACCAUUCAAGAUAACCUGAGUACUAGAUUCCAAUUCCUCCGAAGAUGAUUCUUUCAGAUUUACUAUCAGUAGUUCAGAAGUCAAAAAAGGGGCUUGAGAGGAGCUCUCUGGUAUGUCAUAAGUCCCUAAAGUUGAAAGUUAUGUCCUCAUCUAUACGAGUUGUUCAGUUUAUAUUGAAUAAGAUAUGCAUUCAGAUUCCACAUUAUUUCUUCAAUAUAGAUAGUGCUUAUAAGAAAAGAUAGUAUAAACCUAGAUUGUUGAAUAGAGUUGGCAUUUGAGGGAUAUUGCAACCUUGAGUUGUAUGGUUCAUAAGUAUUAGAACCAUUUUAUAGUUGUACGUAUAGGUAUAGGAGUGUAGUGGCUAGAAAGUAUGAAUGACGAUUGAUAGAUAGUGUAGAGAUAAACUUAUGCAUGUUAUCGAGAUGUGUUAAGGUGAUAUAUCCUUGAGUUUUAGUUUAGUAGAUGGUGAAGAAGUAUUUAUUAGUUAAGGUGAAUUGUUGUGUGCUUGAAGUACGGAAGGAGUUAUUGAUGAUAUUUGUUAUGUUAGGAAGGCAUAGGAUAUCAAUGGAAGUAUCUGGGGGUUGAGUAUUUUAAAUCUAAGUUAAUAGAUGGGUGAAUAGUAGUAAUGUGUAGAAGUAGUAUGUGCUAAUGGAAUACAAUAAGGAAGACUAUAAGGUCAUGAUCGAUUAUUGUUGUUACAAAGUUCUAGUGGAAUAAUGUUUCUUGAUAUUUUAUUUUAUAGUCUCCAAGAGAGAAUAGUAGGUGAUGUUGGUUUGUUAGUCAUGUCUAGCACUAGACACUAAGUUGGAUAGUGAAUGACUAUUAAGGUGGAAAUAAUGGUUUCUUGGUUAGUGAUACUAAUUAUAUAGAGGUGAUCUAAUAGGCUUGAACAGUGCAUAUAAGAAUUUAAGUUUGUUCACUUGAAAUUUUGCAUGAUGUUGUAUGUAUGAUGAAGUAUGCCUAAGGUGAUACGGAGUUGCAUUAUUCUCCAAAGUUAUUAUGUGUUGUGUGCGGUUGGUAUUACCCUUGAGUUGCUAAGAGGAAAGAGACUAUUUAUAUAGUAUAUGAUGUUCAUAAUAGCUAAGUUAAGUUGUUGAGUUAUGGAUAGACGAUGUUGAGCCUUUUUGGUAUGAUCUUGAUUCAUAUGGUUUAGAAAUAUAAGUUUAGAGAUGCGAUAUUAGUAGGCUAUAGUGGAAGCAGUCAAGUUUGUUAAAGGUUGAAUAAAUCUUUGUUAAGUGUUAGAAUCUACGUUUGUGAGUGUUUAAGAUGUUAUGUGAUGACUGUUGGACUAUGGAAAGAUAGAGUUGUAUCUCAGAAGAAGGUAUUAGCAGCGGGUUUUACACUUUUAGGUGUAGUCUUUCGGAGUAAGUUUAUUAUUUGCGUGUAUUAUCGUAUUCAAGACUCCAGAGUGCAAUGAGUGUAGUUCAGUUUAGAGCUUAGUAAGGGAUUCAACAGACUUAGAUUUAUGGCUUAAAACUAGAGGACAGAUGAUAGAAUGAGUAACCAAGUCAGGGUCUCAGAUUUUAGUAGUAAUGACAAUAUGUUAUAGAACAUCAGAAAGUGAGGAUUAGGCUUAACCCAUUAUAAUAUCAGUAUUUUAGUUAUCCCAAUACCUACUCAUGCCAUACGUUUCAGUUUCAUGAUCAUAGUUCAUGUUCAUGCAUAUGAUGAAGAAUCAUGGACUAUCCCAGUUCCUAAUAUGGGGAGUUCCAGUUCAUUCAGCCGUCAGAAUCACAUUCCAUAAGUUAUGAAGUCCAAAUUCAGGUCAUGCAUCUCAUGACUUAUGUACUCAUACUUUACGGUAUGUUCAGUUUCAAGUACUCAUGCAACACUCUUAACGAUCAACGAAAAAUUAAGAUUUGUAUUAUGUACAUCCUCAGACUAGAUCUCUUUAAUGAAUCCAUGCCGUGAAUGUUGUAUUCCUCAGGCCUUUGUACCCUGGAAUUUCACCAACCUUUCCAUGACCUUUCUUUAGGUACAGAUAACGAUGAUGAAUAACAGUGUAGAUGGGAGGAAGUAAAUGAGUUAUGUUAGUAAAGAUUUUUGUAUGCUUGUUUUAUGUAAUUCUAUGAGUCUGAAGGAAUAUUGAAGGUGAAGUUUUGUGUAUAACUUGCUCAGUUGAGAAUAUUUUAUGUGUGUCUUCCUAAGAAUUAAAUAGUGCAUGGAAGUUGUUAUUGAUGGACGUAUUAGAGAAUAUGAGAAGGAUGCUUUGUGAGUGUUUGUUUAGAAGUGCAUAUGUGGUUAUGAAGAUAGACUUGAAUUUCUUCAUUAGUAUGUAAGAGGUUAAAUUUAGUUGUUAAAAUAGUACGAAGAAUUAUACUAGAGGUGAGUAGUUAUGAUAGUGGUUGGUGGAUUGAAUUCAUGGUUCAAAUUAGUAUUACGGUGUGGUUUUAUGUGUAGCACCUUAUGAUUUUGAGUUAGGCUUGACCACGAUGAGUGAAUUUAGUUCAGUUAGACUUUAGUAGACGGAUGUAUCAAUGCCAUGUGAGAAUUAUAAGUUGAAUCGAGCUAGUAUAGUAUUUGAGGGGAAUAGAGUAGUUGAGAGAUAGUGUUUGAGAAGUGUUGCUAAGCUUUAAAGUAAGAAGUUGCAUUUCUUAAGGCCUAGAUAUUCUAUCCUGACUUAUGAUUUAUAGGUCUAAGUUCCAUGCUAUAGAUUUGGGGAAAUGUUGUAACCUCUUAUUCAGAGGUCUUGUUCAAAUCAUGCCCAGAAUUCUUUGCUCCCUAAUAUCGUUAGAACUUCCUAAAAGAGUGUUGGAGAAAUACUUCAUUUAAGUAUGAUUCAAUCCAUGUAGCCUGUAAUCCAGUUUAGCAAUCAUGCAGAUAAGCUUCUAUCGAUUUCCAUCUUCCCAUUUAGUCCUACUACCUAAGGUCUCGAGAGUAGGGCCAUACGAAGAGGAAAUUUUUUUUCUUUAUGUACCUUACGAAUACAGCUCAGCCCAUUCAUCAUGAAUCACUUUCACAUUAAGAUAUUAAGUCAUGAUUUAGUUCAUAAGUAUUCAGCGAAUGAUCUUAGUUUUCCAAAUAUUCCAUCUCAGACAGUGCAAUACCCAAUAUAUGAUCUUAGCCUCGUUGUCUCAUGAUUUUUUCCUACAUAAACUAUUACCUCACAUUUUUAUAUGUAUGAUUGCACCAUGAGCACAUCAAGCGAAUUCUAAGCCCUCAACAUGAAUUAGCUCUUUAAAAUAAGUAAAGGUAAUCCAACUCAGAAAUCAGUUUCUUAAUAGAGGUUUCUAAUGUUCCAGACUUAGUACUAUAAAUAUGUUCCCAGAUGUAAAUGUUCAAUACGUAACCUCAUUUACCUUAGUACAAUACUCUCAACUUAAUCAGUAUCAUUCGGGGACGAACAAUCCCAAGAGGAGAGAUAUUGUACUACCCCGAGUUUUCAUGUCAUUAACCUCUCAUCUUUUCCUCACGAAAUUAGAUCUAGCCUAAAGUAAUGGUUAUUCAUAAGUUGACUCACUCAUUUCUAUUUCAUCCAUAUAGCUGUUUUCAUGAGAGUUCAUACACUCCCAGACAAGUCCAGUAGCUCAUUUUUUUUAAGAUUCAGUUAUUUGGUUUAUUUCAAUUGUGCAUGCCAGUUAUAGCCUCAGUUUUCAACAUAUCAACUUAAUUAGUCUCAUUCGAGGACGAAUGUUUCCAAGGGAGAGAUAUUGUAAUAACCAGAACAUUUCUAUCUCUGUUCAACCGUUAGUACGAACUUGUAACACUUAGAAGCUUGAAAAAAUAAAGUUAAUAGUUGAGGACUUAGACAUUUUAAAGACCUUCUAACCCUGAAGAAUUUAAGUUGACCUUCCGAACUCUGAAACAAUGGUUCUUGAGUUGAUUCAUGAUCAGGGAAGUUAGGAAUAAUACCUCAAGAAGAUUUUAGAUUUUUAGACUAGGUUUGGAUUGUUUUUGGGUUAAAAUUCCAGUAGCUCACCUCGAUUCCAUCGUGCCAUGAUGUGUAUAGCGCCAAUAGGGCUACACAUCGUGGUGGAGUGUGAAAAGACAAUUGUCAAUUUCCAGUAACUCAUCGCGAUUGCACCGCGUCGCGAGGCGUAUAGUGAUGAAGGGAUCACGGCAUCGCAGUCAAGGUGUAUUUGUCAUGUUCUUAAUCCAUAAUUUGAAACGUAGGUUUCACGACCUUUAUCCUAGUGUAUGAAGUGCUUAUUAAGUGAAUAAUAUUCCUACAAAUCACUUAGAGCCAAGUUGAGCUAAGAUCCUUUAAUUCGUCCAAUAUUUGGUGUUUGAUUCUACAAGGGUCAGGUUUAAAAGUGCAUAACUUUGGAUGUAUGUAGAAUUUUUCAGCUAAAGACCCACCAAAUUGUAUUUAAUUUAGUUAGCUUUCCAACAGUACCAAUUUCACCUAAAUUCGAUACCCGAGUAAAAAGUUAUGACAUUUUUAGUGUGAGGCAGUAAGCUGCCUCAAUUAUACCGUAUGGCGGUGUCCCCUCAAACGGCAAUACGGGUUACGAAUUAUUGGUUUAAAUUAUGGAGGGAUAAUGGGGUAUUUUCCACCUCAACCCAGGUCGUAAAAACAUGAUCUAAGGCUUCAAUUAGGGCAUUAUUUGCCCCUAUUCUCCUAUUUUUCCCUCAAGAACAAACCCUAAUCAAUCCCUUCAAGAAUCAUCAAUUUCAUCUUCUUCUCUUCAAUAAAAAGAUCAAGAAUUUAGGGUUCCUAACCCAAGAACUUCAAGAAUGUUUUCAAGAUCAUCUCUAAAGUGUUCAAAGUCAAGCUAGUACAUCAAAUCAAGCAUAAUAAGUAAUAUGGGGUUUGAAAAAGGACAAAUCUUUCAUUCUUGUUCCCAGAAAUUUGAAUUUUAUUAAAGAUUACAUGAUUUGCAAGUUGGGGUUCAUACCAAAAAGUAUCUUGUUUUAGGUUUAUGAAAUUAUAAGUGAUUUAAGACUUGAAUUGCAUGUUUAACCCACCUAUUUAUGCUUUGAAUUGAGUAUUUAUAUCAUAAAUUGUACAUCCCUAUUGUUAAUUGAUAUUUUCAAAUGUUUCCAAGAUAGUUGUUGAGAAUGAAUCUUCAUUAUGAAAUUGUGAUCAUUUAAGUACAUAAGAUUUAAACCCAAGUAUGAAUUUUGAUAUUUCAUGACGAGUAUAUUAUUAGCAUGCUUUGACAAGUAUUCAGAUUUUAAAGAAAGAUUGAUCUUCUGAUCCUAAGCUAAGAUAGGAAUCCACAUUAUUUAUGAUUUAAACAAAGAGAGUGUUGUUUUAAGAUGGAUUUUCCCAAAAGUUUUAAACGAUAAGUAUGGGAAUAGUAUUUAGCACCAAGUUGGGUAUGAUUCAAAGGUCUCAUGCCCCAGAACUAUGUGCCAUCGUAGGUUAUGAUUUUACUAAAGUGGGCUAAGAUAAUGAUCACUUAAGUUAAGGUUCUAUUUUGAUGGCAAGGGAAGAACAGCUCUCCCCAACGUGGGAAGACGUUGGAUCCAUGUCAGCUAACAUGGUUUAUGUCGGUUAGAAUAAACUCCCAAGUCCCUAAGUCCCAAAUUUUAAUAAUUUCCAAAGUUUUCAAAGUCUCUAAGUUUCAAAAGAAAAGAACGAUAUUAAAGAUUUUAUAAGACUAAGUGUAAAGGAUAUUCAGAUUAUGCUUUAUGAAAAGAUAAAAGUUAUAGUUUUCAGUUUUCAAAUUUCAGAUUCAAACGAGAGCUCUUUCUGCACUUAGCCAGCAUGAUUUAACGAGAAAGUACAAUUACAACUUUUAGAACUAAAUGUUAUGACUCACUAGAUUCAUAAAGUAUGAUUUCCUAUUCACGAUUUUAGAUUUCAGUAUUUCAGAUAUUUCUAGCUUACGUGAGUCAUUUUAAUUUAGCAUGCAUUGUUUUACAAAUUAUGAUGACGAGAUAAUGUUUUAAUUAUGCAUUCACCCCAUAUACUCAGUACACCCUCAAAGUACUGAUCCAAAUGUACGUCUAUGUGCUACAUUGUCUCAUAAUAUAGGUAUCAGUUGUAGCACUCACAUCAUAAUCGGAUAGUUUGCACCUUCCGGUCAGCAGGUGAUGGGUUCUUUUGUUUCAAGGACUUGAGUGAAGUAUAAUAUUAGUAGCUUUUCUUUUAUUCAGUUGUAUUGAUUAGGGAUAGUUGGUGUCAUGUCCCGGCUACCUAUAGUCAGUACUAGUAGAGAGUUCGUAGACAGAGAAUAGAAGUUGAUGUAUUUGAUUCUAGUUUGUUUUGCAUAAUCAGUGUUGUAAUUAUUUUCAUAUAGUUUGUAUUUUAUCAAGUUUAGAAAAGAUUUAUAUUUCCUUAUUUUCUUCAAAUUUAUGUGUUUUAUUCAAUUGCUUAUGAGUUAUGGAAGAACAAGGGUUAGCUUGGGAUCACUUGUGACCCUAAGAAUCGUGUGAUGUCUCGAGACCCAUUUUUGGAGCGUUACAUUUAUCAUCAAUAUCAGGGUCCUAUAGAAUCGUUCAAAUCAAUAUUUAAGCACCGAAAAGCCUGGGGUGUUAAAAUAUUCCCCCCCUCCCUGGGUUCAUUCAUCCCCGAAUGAUGACUCGAAAUACAUUAAGCACGAUUUAAGAAGUUACAUGGAAUAAAAUUAAGAUAAGAUUAAUACCUUCCAUGAUAUCAUCUGACGAUUCGAAAAGUGAUGGGUACACAUAUCAUCGUUUGAUCCCCAUGUAGCUUCCUCUACCUAUUGAUUCCUCCACGAUACUUCAACAAACCUAUCUUCUUACUUCUCAACUUCCAAACUUGUUGAUCAAAUAUAGCUAUAGGUUUUUCUUCAUAUGUAAGUGAAUCCUUUAUACCAAUGUCCUUGACUAGAAACACAAGUGAAUGAUCUCCAAUACACUUCUUAAGCAUUGACACAUAAAAUUUAGGAUAAGCUGAAGCUAAACUUGCUGGCAAAUCUAAAUCAUACACAACUCCACAAAUCCUACUCGCAAUCUGAUUAGCAACUAUGUAAUGAUGACUAACUUUUUCUUUCUUACCAAAUCUCAUGACUCUCUCCUUACGGAAUACUUUUAGAAAAUAACCAAUCAUCAACCUCAAAUUUUAAAUCCCUUCUUCUUACAUUGCCAUAGGACUUUUGGCCACUUUAGGCUGUCUUAAGUCUCUUUAUAAUGACUUUCAAUUUCAUGAUCACCUAAUGGACAAGGUCUGAUCAAAAUAAGCAAGUUUAACCAACCUUAUACCGACCAAUCGAUGAUUUAUACCUCCUUUCAUAGAGAGCCUCAAAAGGAGACAUUUGAAUGCUAGAGUGGUAGCUAUUGUUAUAGGCGAAUUCAAAUACAGGAAAGUGAUCUAACCAACUACCUUUAAAGUCAAUCAUUCAAGCCGUUAGCAUAUCCCCUAAAGUAUGAAUAGUAUGUUCCAUUUGCACAUCCUCUUGAGGGUGGAAAGCAGUGCUAUGUUUUAAUUGGGCACCCAAACCUUUCUAAAAAGACUUCCAAAACUGAGAAAAGAAUUCCGUACCUUGAUCGAAUAUAAUGGGCACCGAAUCUCCAUGCAAAAACACUAUCUCUUGAAUGUACAACUUCGCAUAAUCAUCUUCCAAAUACUUAGUCCUCAUAGGCAAAAGUGAGCUGACUUAGUCAUCCUAUUCACAAUAACCCAUAUUGAAUCAUAUUAGUUUCAGGAUCAAUGGAGUCCAAAAAUAAAGUUCAUGUUGAUCAUCUACCACUUCCAUAAAGGCAAAGCUAUGUCCUGGGAGGUACCACCUAGCCUCAAUUACUCUACCUUAACUUGUUGGUGAUUCAAACACUUAGCUACAAAGUUAGCAACAUCUCUUUUCAUGUAAUUCCACUAGUAAAUUUCCUUUAGGUCAUGAUAUGUCUUAGUGAAUCCAGUAUGAACAAUGUACCUGGAAGUAUUAGCUACAUCAAGGAUCCUUAAUCACAACCCAUCCAUAUUCGACACAUAGAACUUACCCUGGUAUCACAUAAUACCAUCUCCUACAAUCUUAAAUGCCAUAAACUUUUCCUAACCAACAUCCUUCAUUAUCUGCUUCUAUAUGGGAUCUCUGGCUUAUAUUUUCUUAACCUCAUUACAUAAGGAUGAUUUAGGUACUUCUUGGACAAACAAUCCUCCAUCCUCGGAGUCUAGGAGUCAAACACCGAUAUGAGCAUGCCGAUGAAUAUCCUAGACCAAAUUACUCUUUCCUUCCUCAACAUGAGAAAACUUUUCCAUGUAAAACCUACUAAGAACAUCACCAACCAUAUUAGUUUUGCAUGAAUGAUAGUGCAAGCUCAUAUCAGAAUCCUUCAACACCUUCAACCAUUGCCUCUUCCUAAGUUUCAACUCUUUCUGGGUUAAUACGUACUGAAACCUCUUAUGAUUAGUAAAUAUGUAAGAAUGUACUCUAUAUAGAUAAUGACGUCAAAUUUUAAGCGCAAAAACCACAAUCGCCCACUCGAAAUCAUAGGUGGGAUAGUCUUUCUCAUGGACUUUCAACUUCCUGGAUGCAUAGGCCUCCACCUUAACAUGCUUUAUAAGUACACACCUAUGUCCCACCUGAGAUGCAUCACAGUAUACCAUGAAACACUUUGUCCUCUCAAGAAGGGCAAAGACAAGAGCAGUAGUCAACAUGUAUUUCAAUCUUUCAAAACUAUUCUCAGAAGCUUCAGACUAAAAACAUUACCUUCUUCUGAGUCAACCUAUUAAGUGGAGCAACUAUGGAUGAAAAAUCUCUACAAACCUCCUAUAAUAUCCUACCAAGCACAAGAAGCUCCAAAUGCCUGUCAAAGCCGUGGUUCUGUGACAUUUCUUUACAGCCUCAAUCUUUUGGGGAUCAAACUAAAUUAUGUCACUAGAAAUAAUAUCUCCCAGGAAAGCUAUUGCACUGAGCCAUAACUCACACUUAGAGAAUUUUGCAAACAACUCAUGAUUUUUAAGGGUGUAAAGCACGAUUCGUAGGUGAUUAGCAUGAUCUUCCUCACUCUGAGAGUAAACAAAAAUAACUUUGACGAAAACAAUAACAAAUAGGUCCAAAAAAUAAUGGAACACCCUAUUCAUGAGGUCCAAAAGUGCAUAAGGGAAUUAGUCAGUCUAAAGGACAUGACCAUUAAUUCAUUGUGACCAUACCGGGUUCAAAAAGUUAUUUUUGGAAUGUCAACCUCCCUAACCUUCAAUUAAUGAUAACCCAAACAGAGGUCCAUUAUAGAGAAACAUCUAGCACCCUAAAACAUGUAAAAAGGAUCAUUAAAUUUUGUGAAGAUGGUACUUAUGCUUAACAACGUCUUUAUUCAAGUAACAGUAAUCUAUACAUAUAUGGAGGGAGCCAUAUUUAUUACAUAUGAAGAGAAUAGAAGAACCCUAGGAAGAGAUAUUAGGAUGAAUAAGGACCUUAUCAAGAAGAUCUUUAAACUUCUCUUUAAAUUCUUUAAAUUCCAUCGGGGACAUUCCAUACAAUGGAAUAGAAAUAGGCUGAGUGUCUGGCAACAAGUCAAUACCAAAGUCUAUUUCCCUAUCCGGUGUAUCCCAGGGAGGUCAUCCGGAAAGACUUCAAGAAUUCAUUAACUACUAGGGCCAACUGGGAAGAAUGACUUUCAUUCCUAGAAUUAUUGACCUCAAUGGGGAAUUGCUUUGGAAGUAAGGAAAACUCAAUCCCAAAAAUACUGCCCAUAUUUGGUUUUGAGGAGGGUCGGUAACAUUGUGUAUGAGCUGGAAUUUCCCUCUAGUGUGGGUUCUAUUCACCCGGUGUUCCAUGUGUCGAUAUUGAAGAAGUUUGUGUGUGAUCAUUCAUUGGUUAUUCCCGUAGACAACAUUGGUAUUUUGAACUCUUUGUCUUAUGAGGAAAUCUCGGUGAUGAUCUUGGAUCGGCAAAUUCAUCAAUUACGACAGAAGGACGUAGAUUCAAUAAAGGAUCUCUAGUGGAACCAAAAGUUUGAAGAAGCUACUUGGAAAAAUGAGAAGGAUGUGAAGUCCAAGUAUCUGUUGCUAUUCCCAAUUUUAGAAAAUUGUGCUUAAGAUAUAUGUGUUCUUAACAUCUUUGUUUUCUAGCUUUGUUAAAGGAAAACUUGUAGAUUUGUUGACUUUUAUGUUUUUUAAAUUUUUAAAUGGGAAUUGUGGUUGUAUUUCUAUGUUAAAUUGUGCUAAUAAAUGCCUUGACCCAACAUUUGAGGAUGAAUGAUCCUAAGGGGGAAGAUGAAACACCCCAAAAUUUUGUUUCUUAAAAAUUCCAAGUUCUUGACCUCACUACUUGGACUACGACUCCCCUUACGAGUCGUAGGGUGUCUUUACGGGUAUUAAGGACCCAAUCAUAGCCUAAGAAGUGUGGGUGGCUAAGUCUUCUAUUAUGAGAACGAGUGGCUCUGAAUGAGUCGUAUAGAUUCAUUAUGAGUCGUGUCCUCCGUAGAGUGACCAAUGUGAUGCCCAAUGGUUAUUAUUAUGACUAUGACUGAUGGUCAUGAUUCGUAAAGACUCAGUACGAGUCAUUUGGUCCCAAUCAUAUCCAAGUCAAUGUGUACCUCAAGUGUUUCUUUCCUAACAAUGACUUGGACCCUAUGAGUUGUAUGGUCCCUUAACGAGUUGUAUGAUGUCAGUCGUAGGGUCACCUAUUAGUAGACCAUAUGACACUGUCUCAAUUACGACUCAUGGUGACGGGUCUUAAUGAUUCGUGGUCACUAGCGACCAAAUUUUCAGUCUUAUCAUUAACGGCAUUCUGGUCAAUUCUUCUUUUUUCCCUACUUAGUCCCCACGACCACAAAGCACUAAAGGGAUUCAUUUCUCAUUCACAACUCAGCCAAAACAUUCUCAAAUCUCUAAAACUUCUCUCAAGCAACUUAGGGUUUCCAAGAAGUUGGUCAUCUAAGGGCUCAAGAGUCGAUUUAUCUCGAUAAAUCUUAGUAUUUCAGCAAGUGAUUCUACACUUACGCUUAAUAUCUCUAUUUCAUGAAAAUACAUGUUUGUUUAUGUGAUUGAAAAUAAGGUUUUUAAAAUGGUUGAUGUAUUUUGACUCAACUGGUCUUUAAAUUGAUUUUCCAUGGUUAUUUAUGUACUAUUCGUGCUUAUUGAUGGUUUUGAAACUUGUGGGAUUCAUUGGUUUGGUUGAUAAACAAAGUGGUCAUGUUUUCCAAAAGAUUAAUGGUUUUGCCUAGACUUUUGGCUUUGGAAAUUGUCCAUUCUCUACCAAAUUGUGAAAUUGAUAAUGAUAAUUGCCUUGUCACAAGAUUUGACUUGUCUACUUGAACUAAUGCAUUCGUAUAAAAGGUUAAUGAAGUAUAAAUGGAUCCAUAAAGGCCUUAGUGGCCAUGAGUUUAUUUGAAUUGGAGCCUUAGGGCUUGGUUGGCUAAAUGAUUUGAGUCUCAAAUGUUUGACUAAUUUGAUGUCCCUUUUGCACAACGGGUUCGAAUCACAAUUGAUGAAAUAAUUGUCAUGGCAUGUUAUACACUUGCAAGUGGGGUUGGUAUGAUGAUACCAACGAGAUGCCUUAAUACUUAAUUGGGUUAAUAAUCAGGAAUAUAAGUUGAUUGUUUUAAAUUGUCCUUUAAAGAGGGUUGUAUAGCCAGGUUGUGAAGAAAAUAUUAUUAAGUUUGUACGUGACAAAGAUAAAACUUUUGUUGGUACACAUAUUUUUGCAUGAUCAAUCGAUGAUGGAAAAGCUUCAUUAUUUGAUGAAGUUAGAGGAGUCGAGAAAAAGAAGCAAGAAUUUCCAAUAAGGCAUGGUUCAAAGCUUCAUCUGAGUUCUUCCGCGAAAAGUUCAGGAUAGCAUCCAAAAAAUCACUUUAAGGGGGAUUGUGAAAAUAUCAAUGUAGAUUUUUGAAAUCAUAGAUUUCUAUUAAUGUUUCUAGAAUAGUCUAGAGUAGUAUUUAGGAUAAUCAACUUGAUGAAAUAUCUAGAUAUUCUAGAGUAAUGGUAGAAGAUAAAUAUCACUAGGCUUUUAUCUUAUAGAAUUGUCUAGCUAUUCUAGAGUAAUUGAAGAUAAGGAUCACUAGAUAUUUCUUAUACAAGUAUCUUGAAAAAUAUCUAGAAUCUUCCAUAGGCAAGUAUAAAUAGGAGUCACAUUGUACAUUUUUAACCAUCCAAAAAACAAACUCAAAACAAUCCAAUUUAAAUAGUCUUCUUCUAGACCCAGGUUUCCUUUAAAUAUAUUCCUUUACAUUCAUAGCUACGAUCUUGAGAUAGAAGAACGUCUUCCCAAUUACAUCUUUUUUCUGCAAUUCUCUACAGGGUUGCCAUUACUGGAUCGACUUUGUUGGGAAAGGCUGGGAUACUUCUUGGAUCAGUUGACCUUGCCGAAUCCAAGGAUGUUUUACUCCCCUUGUGACACCAGUGAGUGAAAUACGAAAUAAAUAGUUAUUCUUGGAUUCAGCAAUGUCAACUGAUCCACAAGUGCAUGGCCUUUCCCAACGAAGCCGAUCUAAAAAGGACAACCCCGCCAUUAGCAUGAUUUAUAAGAUGGUUCCACUCCUUUCUGGCUGCGCAAGCAGAGAAAUAAACCAUUACAGGCUGAUAGUUUUCUUGUAAAAGGUGGAAGGAAACAAAGAGUUUUGGGAAAAUGGGAUAUAUUUUAUGAGAUAAAUUACCUCAAUUUGAUGAAUAUUUUAAGAGAUCUGGGAGCAGAAGGAGGGUGGGAAAAAGUUCUAUUUUAGUUUAGUAUGUGAGUAGAUUUAUAGGUGUACAAGAUUUGAAUAAAUUGGUUUUCUAUGUAAAUUUGAACAUAUUUCGUUUAAAUAAAUUUUCAUAUUUAGAAUUUACAUAAAACUAUUAUAAAUUGUUAUAAUUAAUAAUUCAAACAUAUUUUAAAACAAUAAUGAGAAAAGAAUUCAUCAUUUGAUUCUCCAAAUAAUAUCUUGAUCAUAUGAAGUUAAAGAAAG